UAUUCGGAAAUAUGGAAGGUUCUCCUUAUCUGAAGUUUUCCUUUUCCCGGGGGAAGGGGGGCGGUCCCUGGGACUGGACGUGGAGUACUUUGUAGCGGGGAACCGGGGUACCUCUUAGCGGGGACUCAGAGGCCGGUGUCCUGCCGGGGGUCUGGAGAAAUUCAAUACCUGAGUAUUUUUCCCCAACAGUUUGCCCCUUAUUGCUCGAUUUCGUCAUCGAAUUCGGAGAAUAACCUGUGCACGCAAGUCAACCGGAGUUGCUCAUUCUCAGCAGGCUUCCCAUAGGCAAGACAUAGCUCCAGUAAUCCUGUGAUCCCGGGUUCCACUCAGGCUGGAACCACACUCUGAACCCGGGGCAGGAUCGGUUCCCUUAUUCCAGACCGGGGUCUGGCGCUAUUGAACCGCUGAUUUCUUGUCGAAGAUGGAGAAGCUCUGGGCUUCUGAUGGCGUCUUGGAGACAGCGAAGCCUGGAACUUUGAUGUUUCCUGAAGAGGAGUUCUAAAGGCUUGAUACGUGGGAAAUGAUCAGGAGGCUGGUGCCCGUUUGGUUGAUGAUACUUGGUGCUCUUCUUACUCUUCAAAAGCGCAUAUAUUUUAUCGAAACUUUCCUUUUUGUAGGAAGGAUUUCCCUUUUUUCUGCAAGGACUGGAUUUCCUUUUCGCUGCUUAUCCUUCAAGUCAGGGAUUCUUCAGAAUAUUUGGGAACAUCCCUAUUUCCUUUUCUUGCCCCGGAAAAGGGAAUGACCCGGAUGUAUAUAAGGACUCGCAAUAUCUCCUAACUGGCCUCAACCUAACCUCAGCAUUGAUUCUUAAUUGAGAAAGAUGAAUCCCGAGUUGCUCAUGUUUCCGUCCUCACUUGUGGGUGGUCGUCCAAGGCUGCAUCGUCCUUUAACCGAUCCUUUUUCAUCCCAUGUUCCUGGGGAGACGUUCCGGAGGCUGAUAGUGAAGAGGUUCCGUUGGCGUCCUGGAGAAGGCUCCGUUCUUGUUUCUUCGAUGACGGUCCCCGUUCUGAGAUUCGAGAGGGAGACCUGGCUAACAUGAGGAGUAAGUAUGCGAUUUAUCCUUCAGUGGCGAUGAGGAGGCCGACUGAGUUCGAACGCUCUCCAGAUGGGGGAGCGGGUGAGGUAGCUGUCUAUGAGGUAUAUCUGGAAGCAGGCUUCCCGGGCGUUAUCCCUUCUCUUAUAGGCGAAGUAUCAUCUUUCUUCGGUUUCUGUCCUUCUCAACUUACUCCUCUAACAUGGAGGACUUCAAUGGCCAUCCAAGUGCUUGGGGGAACUCCACGGAUUUUCUGUCGGGGUGCAUUAGACUUUAUACUCUUAUUACUUUGCUCCUCUGAUGAAUAAAGUGGGGUUCUAUCACCUUCGAUCCCGUGAUGUCACCCCUCUGGUCAAAGAACCCUCGAGGGGUGUCAGGGGCAAUUACCCCUUUGGGGAUGGUUGGAACAGCCGGUAUGUGUUCGUGAAGAUCCAGGAGCCGGUUGGUUAUCCUACGUAUUGGCGUACCGUUGGUAAGUUGAGAAGGACAGAAACCGAAGAAAGAUGACACUUCGCCUAUGAGAGAAGGGAUAACGCCCCGGAAGCCUGCUUCCAGAUAUGCCUUAUAGACAGCCACCUCACCCGCGAUGGCCGCCGAUGCCAACAGACAAGCCAAACACUGCGACCAGUGUCAGUGGCACACUCCAGUUUCCAAGCUCUUUCCGGAGAACCUCAAAUCGAUAAGCUCGCUGUGGCCCUUCAGAAAGUGGGGCAUGGACAUAGUAGGGAAAUUCCCUAUGGCGCCGGGGCAGAAGGUCUUCCUUAUGGUAGUCACUGACUACUUCUCCAAGUGGGUCGAAGCAGAAGCACUCAACCGGAUAACAGACCUCCAGAUCCACAAAUUCCUGUGGACAAACGUAAUCACUCGCUUCGGGGUCCUCCACGAGAUCGUCACCGACAAUGGACCCCGGUUCACGAGCCACAAAUUCAAGGAAUUCUGCAAGAACUGAUGCAUAAAGCUCACCUUCGCCACACCCCGACACCCCCAGUCUAACGGACAAACCGAGUCCACGAACAAAACCGUGGUCAACAUGAUUAAAAAUCGACUGAAGGGCUCUCACGGUAAGUGAACGAUAGAACUACACGGAGUCCUGGGCCUACCGGACCACUCCAAAAACAGCAACAGGAGAAACUCCCUACUCGCUGGUCUACGGCUCUAAAGCCAUAAUACCCACGGAGAUGCACGUGAAAACAACAGUCUCAGGAGGAGAACAAUGAGCUGAUGGCACUGAGCCUCGACAUGCUCUAUGAAAGAAGAGAGGCUGCUCGGCUAAGAAACUGGUCCUACCAGCAAGAUGUCGCCAGGACAUACAACAAAAAAUGUCAGAACCAGGACCAUCCAGAAAGGGGAUUGUGUUCUACGACGAGCAGAAAAAACAACGGGGAAACUCACCCCCGGGUGGGAAGGACCCUAUAAGGUAAUCGAGGUGCGGAGAGCAGGCGCCUAGAGGCUGCAAGAUAACAAAGGUAAAAUACAACCCAAUUGCUGGAACUCCAGAGACCUCCGAUCCUGGCCAACCCUUUCAAAAAGUGGCACGCCUACAAAAUCAAAACAUGAAUGAGUAUGUGCAAGCCUGAGUAUGCUGUCGAAACUACCUAAAACCCCUGUGCAGCCUACGGCGCAUUGGGGUCCCUAGAGUACCAAUGUGAAAAGUACGUGUAUUAAAACGCUACGAGCUACACAAUACAGGGAACACAUGGUAUAUUUAUUGCAAAGGUGUUGUGAAAUACAGGGAUCAAUCAAAAUCCUGCUUCUCCAGACGUGGAAAGCAGUGAAGCCUGGCACUUGGGUUAUGUUGGGGUCGAAAACAGUUACAACGAAGUUAACUUCCAAAUCCCCGAAGAAGAAAAACGUAGAAACCUUCUUCGACAAACACUUUUUCGAAAUAGAUUCUUCUUUACGAAAAUCUUUGCGGAGGAAACGCGAGUCAUCGGACAAAGAUCUCGAAAAGGAUCGUUAUGCAGCGACCGAGCACGUGCUCCGCUCGGUCGCUACGUAGCAACCGAGUUCGUGCCAAGGCUCGGUCGCUACGUAACGACCGAACGUCCAUCCCGCUCGGUCGCUACGUAGCGACCGAGCUUUGGCUUGGACUCGGUCUCUACGUAGCGACCGAGCGGGACGAACGCUCGGUCGUUCCGAAACGUCGAUAUAACAUUAGUCCAUGCGUUCUCGUCUACCCUUCGAUGCUAUCUCCCGAAGACCGUAGCGAACCCAUUUAACGAUUCCCCACCAUUCUAAGUUAUCGAUCAAACUUUACCGUAAAAACCGCGGAAAGUUGGUUCUUUAUCGAAAGAAGCCGUAAUAAACGUUUCGAGUCGGAAGACGGCCCAAAGGGACCUAAGACAUGAUUCGAAGCCCAACUUAUGAUUUCUUAACCAAAAACCCGUAAGCCGCAUGACGGUUUACGCUUGGUUCGCAAGGAAAGAUAAAUGUCAAGUUUCCGCGGAUAAAUACGAAAUUUUGAAGAUAAUUACAAAGAUCGGAAAAAGGGAAUAUCUCCAUUUUUAUGCUAUGACGGCUUAAGGGCAGAAGGGGAAAAGCGUAAACCGACCUUGGAGCCAGUAUAUAAGGAGUCCUAGGCGAGAGGCAUGAGAGAGGACUUUUGACAGCAAACUUAGCACUUAGAGCUAUUUUAGGCAAUUUUCUGUUUUUGUUAUUCGAGCUGCGACUCAAUUAGGUUUUUGCCGUUUUAGGGUUUUAGAACUAGGAAUCUCGCCGACAGCUCUCGUAGUCCAGGCACUUACCUUGUUGUAAAAGCUCAAACGCAGAUUCGGAAUAAGAACUAUCUUGCUCUCUUUUUCGAUUUCUUAUUUUAUUACUAUUCUCGUUUCGUGUUCUGAUUGCUUGGUGUGUGGUAUUAGCAGAUAUCCGGGACCUCUGGGAAAUUAGGGUUUUCCUAGUUUCCUUAUUUAAACGGAAAUCGACAGUGCGAAUUUCGGUUCCCACAAUUUUGCGCUAGAAGGAGGGGGGGGGGGUACGGAUCAAUCUAACUCUCAACCACAUCACGCUCAACUAGACAUGUCAACUGACGACACGAAUAACGUGCAGACUCCUCUUAACGGAGUCGGCGGCACUGAUUUCCACACUCCCGCAGCGGACAUAUACACGGCCAACGCACCAGCCAACGCCGCGGCGCUCGAGAAGUUCAAAAAGAUGUUCGCUACCUACCAAAAAAGGUCGGAAGAACAGGAUAAGCUUGUGAGCACCUUGACCAAACAAGUUGAAACUUUAACGGCAAGGACUCAAGCAAUCCGCCCCCGCAGAACCACUAAAGUCUGCGGGAAAAGACUCGACUUUGCAACCCCACUCAAAAGGCCUGGAGCCGCCCAGGAACGACCUUCGGGUCGAAACCCUAGCGAGAAAUCUCCCAUCGAAAAGGGAAACUCUGAAAGCCCUCCACCUCCCGCGAAGGUUUCGGAGGACAACAGAGUCGAGCAAGUCGACCUGGAUCCUUGCGAUGUCUCCAACAAUACUGAUGAGGACGUUGACAGACAUCCAAGAAGGACCAGAAGCUGAUUCACUCGGGAAAGCUCUCCGUUCGACAAACCAAUGACAGAAGAGGAGGAAAUCCUCUAUUGGAACGAACAGGAAGAGCUGGCUGAAAAAACCGAGCUCACUCACAGUAAACACUGACAAGCACGGAAAUCUGCUGACGAGACGUCGGAGAUACGCGAUCUUCGCGACUAUAUCACCAAGACCGCGGCAGAAGUAAGAGCCGUAAAAUCAAAAAUCCAUCACGCUACUAGCGCGGCCCCCGAGAUCGACAGGCUGCUGGAAGGGGCUCGGAAGACCCCUUUCACCGCUCGCAUCUCAGAUACGAGGGUAUCCGAUCCAGGAAAAAUCAAAGUACCGAAGUAUGAUGGUACGCCCGAUCCGAGAGCGCACCUUUAGGCUUUCCACAUCACGAUGGGAAGAGCGAGGCUGAAGGACGGCAAGUGAGACGCCGGCUACUGCCGCCUGUUCAUCGAGAAUCUAGAAGGAGCAGCCCUCGAAUGGUUCGCGCCCCUUAAGCGAAACUCUAUCGGGAGUUUCCGACAGCUCGCAUCAGAAUUUCUCAAGCAAUACUCUAUGUUCAUAGAUAGAGAAACUUCCGAUGUCGAUCUCUGGAGUCUGUCCCAGAGGGAAGAGGAACCCCUCCACGAGUUCAUCAGCCGAUUCAAGUUGGUAAUGUCCAGGGUCUACGGGAUAAGCGACAAGGUGGCCAUCGAUGCGCUCAGAAAGGCGCUCUGGUACAAGUCGAAAUUCAGAAAAUGGAUAUCCCUCAAAAAACCGCGGACGAUCCAAGACGCCCUCCACAAGGCGACGGACUACAUCAUGAUCGAAGAAGAAACAAAAAUAUUAUCGCAAAAACAUAAGUCGGCGAGAUCGUCCUCAAAAGAUGUAGACCCAAAAACGAGGAAGAAGAACCCUCGUAACGACAAGUACGUCCAUCACGAGGGGGAAGAAGUCCAAGGAGCGCAUAAUUACGCGAUCGGCUCAGACCAAGGCCGAACCACGGGUAAUACGUGGACUCGCAACCAAGGAUACGAUGAAAACACCUUCUGCGAGUUCCACCAGUCCCGAGGACACUCUACGACUAACUUCGAAGUCUUGGGAGCAAGGCUGGCCGCGAAGCUACUAGCCGGAGAACUCUCAGAAGUGACCAGCGUGAAAGAUCACAUCCUCGAGACCGAUCGCCCCCCAAAGCCGGACAGAAAUCUUCCCGCGGAGAGAUCUCCCCAAAGAAACCAAUCUGGGGAUAAACGCGGCAGGAGGCCAGACGACAAAGGGAACGAUAACAAUCGUCGUAGAGUCAACAUGAUCAUCGGAGGAUCGCAAUCCUGCAACGAUACGGUUUGGCCAUCAAGGCUUACCAGCGGAAGGCGGAGUCAAGCGCAAACUGGCCUACAUGGUCUCCUACCCGAGAUGAUCAGAACUGCUCAAUCACCUUCACAAAGGAGGAAGCCGGCGGGAUCGAUCAGCCUCACUGCGAUCCGCUUGUCAUAGACCUCGUCAUACGAGAUCUGGAAGUCGGAAGAGUACUCAUUGACACGGGAGGCACGGUCAAUGUAAUCUUCCGCGACACUCUCAAUCGGAUGAGCAUCGAACUCGGAGAAGUAACUCCAACUCCGAAACCGCUCACGGGCUUUUCGGGCGAAGUAUCGAUGACCCUCGGAUCGAUCCAGCUACCAGUCAUGGCCAAGGAGAUCACAACAAUCGUCGAGUUCGUGGUAGUCGAUCAUCCUGCCAUCUACAACGUGAUCAUGGGAACCCCAUGGCUCAACACUAUGCAAGCCGUUCCAUCGACGUACCACCUGGGCGUCAAAUUCCCGACCCCAAACGGAGUCGCAGCUAUCUGGGGAUGUCAGAAACAGUCGCGACUAUGCUUCCUCGCGGAACACAAGUUAAGAUAGAUGACAACCUCUGCAACGGCAAAUCUUAUACGCACGAAGAUCGAUAAAUGUUCGACCAACAACGUUUCGAGAAAAGACGAUUUAACAUCGUCUGCUGACGCAGACGCUUCGGGCGUCGAAACUCAACAUGAGUCCGAAGCCGACACUACAACUAAACCGGAACAUCCGGAAGAGAACACUGACCCAGCCACGAUCAUCUCGAUCAAGGCGGUCAGCACGGCGAUAACCGCCGAGUGAAAACGCUCGCGGCAUAAAACAGAACUACGAGAUGGCUUGAUCCUCGAAAUGGGUACGUAGGCAGCUCGUCGAAAGACGAGUUCAGCUAUCCCCAUCUCUAAAAAGCUGGGGGGGGGGGAGUGGGUGCGUAUACUCCUAUACUCCCACAUAGGAAAAGAUGCGUUAUUGUAAUCGAUUUCUAUAGAGAUUUCGAAAAUUUUUACGAUCAAUAUGCGUCGCUCCUUUUUAAGACAAAAUCGCAAAACAAUCUCACUUCAGCACCAAAAAUAUACGUAUAGUCUUCGAAAUAACUGCGAGACGUCGCCAAGUUAAAAAUCGAGAUGAUACGAACAAAUUGUCCGAACGCGACCACUACAAAUCCUACACUCCGUUCGUCGAUUGGCCCCGACGAGCACAUCAGCCGUCUUAAACAAACGCAACUUGAUCACUCUUUUGAUCUUCAUAUGUCCAACCCAAGGACGAAAGCGCGCUACAAAAAAAAUCCGAAAUUUUGGUCUAGCACUUCCAGUUGGCUUAAAAAUUGUCUCUGGAAAGAUGCUCGAUUCGUACCAUACAAGUCGUAUAAGCCGAGAACCUAUCGCGGACUUUAAAUCGGUACGAAUCAGGUAGAAAUCGCAACAGGAAAACCGAUAGCCGGCUAGUCACCGCACAAACCUUAAAACCGAGAGUAAACCUAGGUCUUGCCCUAAACCCAUCGCAUUGGUCUCAGACAUCUCAAAGACAUGAUAUCUAAACGAUACGAGAUCCUAAAACAUGUCUCUUCGUUCAUAUCUCAACGUUCCCGAAAGAUCGUAAAUAAUUUUUACGAAAACUCACGUCUCGAACAAACUAACAGAUUGAACGCCUCAACGAAGAUAAAUAUGAGACGACAACUCAUGUUUACUUCAAAACCCACUCUAAACAAAGUAACUCAAACAAACAUCCGUUAUAUAAACUGCAUAGCGGUAGGGGUUCAAUGCCACCAACGGCCAAUCCCGACAAAAACGCCCAAAAUAGGCCCAUACAAAGUUCGAAAGCCACACUCGGCCAGACAUAUAUGAACAAAGGCCACACUCGGCCGCUAAAUACUAGAUAAAGGGAAAAACUCCUUCCCGUCAAAACACUCACUGAUCAAAGUUAAAACUCCCGGACAAGGAAGCUCCGAAUGCAUCCGCGGGAAAGUUCACUUCCUCAUCGUCACCGGCAAAAUCAGUCGUAGUUUCUACGGUAUCAGGGGAAACCGGGAUGGGAUCCCAAAAUCCCUGAAUCUUCCCAUCGAUCGGAGGAAUGGUCGCCUCAGCGUGAGCAUGAUCCUUCAUGCCACCCUUCAUUAACUCCAUCUCCCUCUCGAAAACGUAGUCAUCUUCCUGCAUCUUCCAAAGGCUCCCGAUGGAGCCGCGACACUCACGGAAGUCACCCAGCGAGUUGAAAGCGCCCUUAAGAUUCCCGUACUCAACCUGGAAAUGAGAAGCACGAGUCUUCAUCACCUCGACGAUUUCCCUCAUGCCUUUCCGUUCCGCCCUACGAACAGCCCUGGCAUGAUCACGAGCGAGUUGAGCUUCUCGCGCCAGCAUCUCGUCUCCGCCUUAAAGUGAUAGAUCAUGGCUUCUCUAUGGCUCGCCUCAAUGGCCAAUCCAAGCAAGUUCAAACACUAUAAAGCCGAUUGACACGUUAUAAGCAAAAAAUAAUAAUAACGAUCGUCAGAAUUCUUUAAGUUUAUACCCCGUUAAUGAUACGAGAUCCUUCCGCAACAACUUUUGGCCUCCCCGACUCCCUCGUGGCCUGAGGAGCGUCAAAAGCCGAUGAAAGACCAGCGAAGAAAUCAUCGAAGUCCGGAAUAGGGACCUCGCUCGUACCGCUUCCAUGGCCGGAAGCUAGGUUCGGAUCCCAUCCCGGAAGCAUGCAGUCGUCCACAGAAAACUCCAGGUCGCCGAGAUCAAUAUCUUUCCCCUUCGAAGAGUUCGGCCCUGUCACAAUCGUGGGAGCGGCGUUGGGACCUUGGUCUUCAGGUUCGGAAUCACUCCUUGUUUCUCCGCCCAAAGCAGGACCAGGAUGUACAAACCUCAGCGCCUUUCGAACUCUCUUCGGCGUAAAGGAUGUCCCGAAAAAAGGACCAUUCCUGAGCAGAUCCCUCAUCGCAAUAAUGUCCUCAGGAAACGGAGCAAGAGGGUUGAUAAAGGGACGAUCGUUCGGCAACCUCCGAAACAGUGGGAUACAACUCUCCUCAACGGACGCUGCGUCUACACGGACGAAGAAGAAAAACUUCCUCCACGAGUUGAAGUUAGAAGUGAACCCCUUUACCACUGACAUGAAGUUCCGAGGAACCAGCCUGUAUGUGUCCGUGUCCCUGAUGAUCUGUAAUCGAAGAAGCGCUUCGAAGUGCUCAACGGUGAGAGAGAGACCAUGCCCGUAGCUCAGGAUCAGGAUCCCUAUGAGGUGCUGGAUGCCAAGAGGAUUCAGUUGGCUUAUCGCCACCCCGAAACGUCCCAACACACGGACGAUGAUCUCGGAGAUCGGGAACCACAAACGGCAACGCACUAUGAAUGCCUCGUAACAAGUAAAGAAGCCCUCCGGGAGACUACUAGCGCAUUCUCCUUGACGAGGAACCCUGAAUUCCACCCCGUCCGAAAUAUGGUAGAACGACCGCAUGACCUCGAGGAAUUCACUGGUACUCCUACUCGGCGCACCUGCCUCCACCGGGCGAUGGUUCAUGACCGGGAACGAUUUUUCUUUGGGAGGCGUGAUCGAACCGUAACACGCCACCCACCAUGCCUUGUUCUUGGCUGGGUCUGCCGAAUGAGGAACGAAUUACAUCUUCGGAACUCGAAGCUGUUCCGAAAUGUUCGCGGGCAAGGAACCUUUCUUCGAACUCCUCUCCUUACUCGACAUCUCGUGUUUUUCUUUUAAAAUCAAGAAGGAAAUGAUAGAGAGAAAGAGAACGAACUUUUCAAGAAAAACCUCUCUAUGAGAAUGAGUAAGUGUGAAGAUUGUGAAGAAAUUACCUCCCUUCUUAUAGGCAUGAGAAAUUACUAUUUACUUGCGGAUUUUUUGACACGAACGUCGCCCAAAUACACCAAUCUCGUCCGAACUCGCCAUACCGCACAUUGGGACCUCGCUAGAAAUCCACGCUCCCAACGAGCUGGGGGACUAACUGUCGGGUUCGAAAACGGUUACGACGAAGUUAACGUCCAAAUCUCCGAAGAAGAAAAACGUUGAAACCUUCUUCGACAAACACUUUUUCGAAAUAGAUUCUUCUUUACGAAAAGCUUUGCGGAGGAAACGCGAGUCAUCGGACAAAGAGCUCGAAAAGGAUCGUUACGCAGCGACCGAACACGUGCUCCGCUCGGUCGUUACGUAGCAACAGAGUUCGAGCCAACGCUCGGUCGCUACGGUCGCUGCGUAACAACAGAGUUCGAGCCAACGCUUGGUCGCUACGUAGUGACCGAACGUCCAUCCCACUCGGUCGCUACUUAGCGACCGAGCUCGAACCAAUGUUCGGUCGCUACGUAGCGACCGAGCUCUUCCGAAAUGUCGAUACAACAUUAGUCCAUGCGUUCUCGUCUCCCCUUCGAUGCUCUCUCCCAAAGACCUUAGCGAACCCAUUUCAUGAUUCCCCGCCAUUCUAAGUUAUCGAUUAAACUUUACCGUAAAAACUGCAAAAAGUUCGUUCUUUAUCGAAAGAAGCCGUAAUAAACGCUUCGAGUCGGAAGACCCAAAGGGACCUAAGACAUGAUUCGAAGCCCAACUUACGAUUUCUUCACCAACAGCUCGUAAGCCGCAUGACGGUUUACGCUUGGUUCGCAAGGAAAGAUAAAUGUCAAGUUUCCACGGAUAAAUUCGAAAUUUUGAAGAUAAUUACGAAGAUCGGAAAAAAUGGAAUAUCUCCAUUUUUAUGCUAUGACGGCUUAAGGGCAGAAGGGAAAAGCGUAAACCGACCUUGGAGCCAGUAUAUAAGGAGUCCUAGGCAAGAGGCAUGGGAGGGAAUUUUACACAGAAAACUUAGCACUUAGAGCAAUUUUAGGCAUUUUUCCAUUUUUUUUUGAGCUGCGACUCAAUUAGGUUUUUGCCGUCUUAGGGUUUUAGAACUAGGAGUAUCGCCGACAGAUCUCGUAGCCCAGGCACUUACCUUGUUGUAAACGCUCAAAUGUAGAUUCGGAAUAAGAACUAUCUUGCUCUCUUUUUCAAUUUCUUAUUUUAUUACUGUUCUCGUUUCGUGUUCUGAUUGCUUGGCGUGUGGUAUUAGCAGAUAUCCGGGACCUCUAGGAAAUUUGGGUUUUCCUAGUUUCCUUAUUUAAACAGAAAUCGACAGUGCCAAUUUCGGUUCCCACAGGUUAUAACACCCACACCAGCAAUGUAGAAACCUGUUAAAAAAAAGUGAGAGUGGUCAAGUAUCUUUGUGGUGGUCGAGUCGCGGGCGAUAAGGAUCGAUCAUAAAUGUUGAAGAACGAGGUGUUUGAACAAUUGAUCGUGAGUAAACUAUGAGUCGAAUAAGCUGCUCGACCAUAGUUAGAAGAUAUCUAAGAUUGAUCAGACAGACGUUUUGGAAGCAUCACAUUUUUGGAAGCAAGACGUUUUAGAAGAUCGGCGGUUAAGAAGCAUGAUGUUUCUUAACCACAAAAUAAUCCUCAAAACUUCGUAUCGGUAAUAUAUUAUGUUGGAAACUUAAUAAGUUGGAAGCAUGCCGGGAAUUAAGCAGGAUGGGAAGCAAGCAUGACUGGAUAGUAGCACGACCGGAAAACCCAAAAUUGGACGAAAACCCUAAUUUCGGUAUUAUGAAUUUUUCGAGGAAGCCGGAGGAUUGAAAAAUAUUUACCGCCAAGGUCAGAGUUCAGAUUGGACUUUAUUAAAAAUAUUCAGCUCAUCAGGACGGGAGCAUAAAAAUCUUCGGGGUUAAUCAUGGAUCAAAAAUUUUCUGGAAGGACCGAAAUCAGGCCAAUGGACCGAGAAGCUCGAGGUGGCUCGUUGCAUGGGUUCAGAACGUGGUGUCAACCAUAUAACAAGGAGUGUCUACAGAAGCUUGAGGUUUCGCCGUGCAAGGAAGCAGUACAUGCAGCCUGACAUGUAGAAGCACGAGGUGGAUCGACCAAGGACGAGGUGUCUCCGCGCUUGCAACCGAAGCAUGCUGAUCGACAUGUGUGAGAUGGUGUGUCGCCUUUCACGAUUUCCAGUCAUGCAGCCCAACAUCUGGGAGGAGUGGUGGCGUCAUGCAUGUGUCCUGGCCAUGCUAAAAGACAUGUGGAGCAUGAGGUGCCGCCGCGUAUGCGUCCGGAGCCAUGCGAAGCGACGCACGGGCUGCCACCAACCUGAAGCUGAUUGGUUGCUGUAUUCUAUAAAUAGGCACGACCUCCCUUCAGUUUCAACACAUCCAGACCUGUCCAAACCAAGUUAAAAACGUAAGAGAAAAGUAGAAAAAGAAAGCAUGUGAUUCCGAGCUAUUUCGAGAGUUUUAGAGAGUUUUCGAGGUCAGUUCUCUACUGAUUUCGAGUCAGCGCCUAGGGAAGGUUCUGUCCAACUGAAGAUCAAUCAAGGGAAGAUCAGUUCAGAUGGGAAGUUAACGUGACUAAAGAGAGAUAGAGAAAGUGGUCGAUGUAGAGUAUGGUCGAUUCUGAAAGCCGAUACUCCACCGAGAUGGCCGGUUCCAUCCAAUCGACGAUUCUUUACGAUUGUGACGCGGAAUCUCUGUCCAAAUCAAUCCGUCCAGGCCAGUCUGUUUCUUUGAUGAUCAAGUGAAGGUUCUGUCCAGAGUUAGUUCAGAUCCACGGGUUGAGAUCAGUCGAAGUUCUGCUCGAUGCCCCGCCGGGAAGUCCGAAGAACUGUCCAGAAGCUAAAGGAGGUUCUGUUCGAGUCCAGAUCACUCCGUACAGGCCUGUCAGUUUUACAUGGUCAAGCCGAGGGUCAGUCCAAGUCUAGAUCAGUCAAGACGUUCAUCUUGGGUUUUUGCCAAGUCCUCUCCGAUCAACCAGCUGCUUCUCGCCUAGAACACCGUGAGUUUGUUUUGUGUGAAUUUCAUUUGGAAUUGAGGGUAGAUCGAGUCGCAUAUAGAUUAGUAUGAUCACGCUAUUGAAUGGUAGAGUCCUUAGGGUUAUUUUAUUUAUGGAACUUGACUCAGUUUAGCACGGGCUAAGCUGAGGUGAAAGGAAUUAAGACUGAGUUCAUAAUAUUAUUGCGUGUUGAUAUGGUUGAGUGCUGGUUCCCGUUAUCUUUAAAGAUCGUUUCAUAGCAGGAGGCGGACUAUCUGGGUAACGGUUUGAUUGAGUUGUUUAGUAUUGAUAUUAUUGUUUAGUUGUUGGUGUUAGUGGUCUUAGGCCAUAUAGGCCGGAUUACUGGUACUAUUGGCUUGUGUUCUAGAGUUGAGAGUCUAGUUAGGAUCUGGAACUUUAACUUUAGGUUAGGUUCUAGAUUGAGUUUGCGCCGUGUGAGUUGCCGACAGUAUGUGCGUAACCCGCCCAUACUAGGCUUUUUUAGGGGUGAUUAGUGUUUCCUCGGCUUCGUACCCAGCGGGUUCAAGGAAAUCCCUUAUUCUUUGGAUAGGGAAGACUCAGACGAAUGGGGUCAUCUCCUAUGGCUGAGUAUUACACGAUGGUGUAAUGUGGCAGUGACCCGAAGGACUGUGGGCUGUCGCACGGUGACCCGAAGGACAGUGGGCCGCAGUCGGUUGAAAGUUCCUUCUUCUGGCCUUUGUGGUAGGAAGAUAGAAUAUUGCCGAUGGAGAGGAGGAACACGAAGUCACCAGGGCCCAGGUUAGAGUGCUGUGUUAGAAUGUCAUAGAGGGUUAUGGAACCCUUGAGUAAGUGUAGCACCGGUAUACAGUGUUACAAGUUAGAUCGAGUCAUAGAUGCUCAUAGUCUUAUUAUUGUGAUUGUGGUUGAUUGAUUUGCUUGCAGGUUUCUGACAUUAAGUCGUAAUUCUGGCUCAGGUACCGGAUUAGGCUUCGUGAGUAUUUCGUUUGUGUAGGCCUGACGUUGGCAUGUAUGUGUUUGAGUGAUUGCUUGUAAAGGGUGGUGGAUAUUAAAGCUAUGUGGUAUCAUUGGUUGAUGUUCUUGUUUGAUUGUUGGUCGACCGGUUAAUGAUACUUGUAUAGUCUAUGUGUCUAACACUACAUGAGUACGGAACUCAGGCGUAUACAUGAUUAACUAGGGAUUGGCUGUUGACUUGUUUUAAUGUAUGUUCCCGUUACUUGAAGCUAGAUCAUUGCAAGAGGCCAAGUCUAACUUAGUAACGGUUUGCAUAGCCUUAGCAUUUAUUGAAUGCUAGGGCUAGAUGGAUUGUUAUUUUGGGUUUUCUGGGUUAGAGUCUAGGUUGCGGGUAGUGGCCAUAGCUCACUGAGUAGCAUUAAGUUACUCAUCCAACUCUGUUGUCCUUUUUGCAGGUCGCUUUAGGUAAGGCUGAUCGGAUAGCUUGGUGCUGGACGUUAGGACCGCCAGAGUAGAUUUCAUGCCUUUUGUAAAUGGUAUUGUGUUAUGGGUUUUGUUGGCUCGAUUUGGCAUUAGGCCGGGCCCAGUCUUGAAUUAUUCUCUGUAUUAAUAUUUCCUAAAUCAAUAAAGUAAUUGUUUUAUAUGCGCUUCAUGAGUACUCUAAUAUUUGACUACUAGUCCGGUCUAGCACAACUUUAGGUUAUGGUACGGGUUGAAAACCCUUAGGCCUUGAUCUAACGGAAAACUCUAACUCUUGGUAUUGGUUGCAAAGCCUUCGGCGUUGACUUAGCGGGACGAGUUAGUGGAUGAACUGGUCUAGGUCGUGGAGUAAAUUUUGUGACUCUGACCGGUUCGUCCCUAACCCAUAACGUAGUGCUUCCGGACCAUGGUGUUGGGUUGGACGGUCAGUCAUGUUCUUGUUUGAUUGUUGGCUGGCCGGUUGGCUCAUUCAUCUCCAACUCUGGGUGUGGGACGGUCGAUCGGUCAUGUUCUUGUUUGAUUGUUGGCUGGUUGAUCGACCAUAUGUCUAGGACGGUUCGGGGGUGUUACAAGCACCCUCUAAGCCUGUCAGUGACUUCCUGCAGAAGUAGAAUACAUCAUAGGAACUCGAUAGUGGCUAGCUUCCGAGCGGCAGAAUGCAAAAUCCAAACAGAUACCGGUAGUAGCCUUGCCUAGGAAUGCGGAGUACGGUCCCUGCGAAAAGCAAAAUAUUCCGGGCUCCCAAGGAACUCCGUGUCCUUAUGCAAGCUCCCGAUAUAAAGAGGAAACCCAAGGUUCCCCAUACGAUUUUGGGUCCUAUGUAUAGAAUCUGAGGAAGAACCUCCGGGUUCCCUUAUAGCAUCCGGGUUCCGAUCAAAGAUCUAAGGAUAUAAGGAAGAACCUCCGGGUUCCUAUAUGGCUUCAGGGUUCCAAAGACGAAAUCAAAAAGAAGCUAGAACCCAUGUGCAGCCAAGGGCGCAUCAGGGUUAUCACAUCCCUAAGAACCUCCGGGUUCCCAUGCGACCUCAGGGUCCAAAUACAAACACCAGGGUCCCCAUACGAUCUCCGAUCUAAAGGAAAACCCUGUGCUCUUACACGACCUCAGGGUCUGAUCACGAUCUCGAAAACCUCCGAGUUCGGACUAUGUUCUCCGAAUCUAUCAAAGGAUCUGCGGGUUUCUAUACCGCCCCCGGGCUCCAGCCAUGAUCCCAGGAUCUAGAGAAGGACCUCAGGGUCCCAAAUAAGACCUCAUGGUCUAGGGGAACCUACGGGUCCCGAAUAUGAUCUCAGGAUCAAAGGAGAACCUAUGGGAUCCUCCACGACCUCUGGGUCCCUAGACGACCCCCAGGCCCUCACGUAACCUCCGUUUACGAGAUCAAUCUUCAGACUCCAAGAGUUCAUAUUUUAGCUCAAAACCUCCGGGUUUAUAGACCAUCUCCCGGGAUCCUACUAUUCAACCUAAGGAAAAAGAGGGAUCAUGGGCUACAAAGUCCCACCUCGAUCGGGAAACAGGAGGAAGGAUAUCCUCUUAAGAAGAAACAUGUAAAACACUACUAUCAGAAGCAUGCGAAGCAAAAGGAAGGAGUAAAUAAAGGGGAAAAACUAUGAAGCUUCAUUAUUCAUAAAAUGAAAGGGGGCUACAAAGAGCCUUUAUUCAAAAAAGCAACAAAACCAGAGUCUCAACAAAUAAAGAAAGGAAUCAUUCAGAAAGAAGGCUCUCCGAAAAUCGCGACCCUACAACGGAUCUCGGGGUUGCAGCCUAGGAGAAGCUACCCGACUGAUGGUUGAUCCCUCCAGAUAGGAACAGAUGACGCCAAUACUCUUAUUCCGGAUUCCAAUGUUCCACAAGCUUUUCCAGCCAUUCCUUCAUGAGCGCCCAUCUAGCCGAGGCUUCCACUUGCUGAACUAGUAAAUCCAGGCAAGCCAUCAUGUCCUGCACCUGGCUACGAAGAAGGAAUACCUCACCGAUCAAUCUCCGGUGAGCAUCUGUGUUGGGGUCGAAAACGGUUACGACGAAGUUAACGUCCAAAUCCCAGAAGAAGAAAAACGUAGAAACCUUCUUCGACAAACACUUUUUUGAAAUAGAUUCUUCUUUACGAAAAGCUUUUCGGAGGAAACGCGAGUCAUCGGACAAAGAGCUCGAAAAGGAUCGUUACGCAGUGACCGAACACGUGCUCCGCUCGGUCGCUACGUAGCAACCGAGUUCGAGCCAAGGCUCGGUCGCUACGUAGCGACCGAACGUCCAUCCCUCUCAGUCGCUACGGAGCGACCGAGCUCGAGUCGAAACUCGUUCGCUACGUAGCGACCGAGCUCGAGUCGAAACUCGGUCGCUACGUAGCGAUUGAGCUCGAGCCAGAGCUCGGUCGCUACGUAGCGACCGAGCUCGAUGGACGUUCGGUCGUUACGUAGCGACCGAGCCUUGGCACGAACUCGGUUGCUACGUAGCGACCGAGCGGAGCACGUGCUCGGUCGCUGCAUAACGAUCUCUUCCGAAACGUCGAUACAACAUUAGUCCAUGGGUUCUUGUCUACCCUUUGAUGCUAUCUCCCGAAGACCAUAGCGAACCCAUUUCACGAUUCCCCGCCAUUCUAAGUUAUUGAUCAAACUUUACCGUAAAAACCGCGGAAAGUUCGUUCUUUAUCGAAAGAAGCCGCAAUAAACGCUUCGAGUCGGAAGACGACCCAAAGGGACCUAAGACAUGAUUCGAAGCCCAACCGAUUUCUUAAUCAACAGCCCAUAAGCCGCAUGACGGUUUACUCUUGGUUCACAAGGAAAGAUAAAUGUCAAGUUUCCGCGGAUAAAUACGAAAUUUUGAAGAUAAUUACGAAGAUCGGAAAAAAAGGAAUAUCUCAAUUUUUAUGCUAUGACGGCUUAAGGGCAGAAGGGGAAAAGCGUAAACAAACCUUGGAGCCAGUAUAUAAGGAGUCCUAGGCGAGAGGCAUGAGAGAGCACUUUUGACAACAAACUUAGCACUUAGAGCGAUUUUAGGCAAUUUUCUGUUUUUGUUAUUCGAGCUGCGACUCAAUUAGGUUUUUGCCGUCUUAGGGUUUUAGAACUAGGAAUCUCGCUGACAGCUCUCGUAGCCCAGGCACUUUCCUUGUUGUAAACACUCAAACACAGAUUCGGAAUAAGAACUAUCUUGCUCUCCUUUUUUCGAUUUUUUAUUUUAUUACUUUUCUCGUUUCGUGUUCUGAUUGCUUGGCGUGUGGUAUUAGCAGAUAUCCGGGACCUUUGGGAAAUUAGGGUUUUCCUAGUUUCCUUAUUUAAACGGAAAUCGACUGUGCGAAUUUUGGUUCCCACAGUUUGGCGCUAGAAGGAGGGGGGGGGGUACGGAUCAAUCUAACUCUCAACCACAUCACGCUCAACCAGACAUGUCAACUGACGACACAGAUAACGUUCAGACUCCUCUUAACGGAGGCAGCAGCACUGAUCUCCACACUCCCGCAGCGGACAUAUCCACGGCCAACGCACCAGCCAACGCCGCGGCGCUCGAGGAGUUUAAAAAGAUGUUCGCCACCUACGAAAAAAGGUCGGAAGAACAGGAUAAGCUCGUGAGCACCUUGACCAAACAAUUUGAAACUUUAACGGCAAGGAAACGAGCAAUCCUCCCCCGCGGAACCACUAAAGUCCGCGGGAAAAGACUCGCAUCGGAAUUUCUUAAGCAAUACUCUAUGUUCAUAGAUAGAGAAAAUUUCGAUGUCGAUCUCUGGAGUCUGUCACAGGGGGAAGAGGAACCCCUCCGUGAGUUCAUCAGCCGAUUCAAGUUGGUAAUGUCCAGGGUCAGCGGGAUAAGCGACAAGGUGGCCAUCGAUGCGCUCAGAAAGGCACUCUGGUACAAGUCGAAAUUCAGAAAAUGGAUAUCCCUCGAAAAACCGCGGACGAUCCAAGAUGCCCUCCACAAGGCGACGGACUACAUCAUGAUCGAGGAAGAAACGAAAAUCUUAUCGCAAAAACAUAAGUCGGCGAGAUCGUCCUCAAAAGAUGUAGACCCAAAAACGAGGAAGAAGAUCCCUCGUAACGACAAGUACGUCCAUCACGAGGGGGAAGAACUCCAAGGAGCGCAUAAUUACGCGAUCGGCUCAGACCAGGGCCGAACCACGGGUAACACAUGGACUCGCAACCAAGGAUAUGAUGAAAACACCUUCUGCGAGUUCCACCAGUCCCGAGGACACUCCACGACUAACUGCAAGGUCUUGGGAGCAAGGCUGGCCGCGAAGCUACUAGCCGGAGAACUCUCGGAAGUGACCAGUGUGAAAGAUCUCAUCCUCGAGACCGAUCGCCCCCCGAAGCCGGACAUUAAUCUUCCCACGGAGAGAUCUCCCCAAAGAAACCAAUCUGGGAUAAACGCGGCAGGAGGCCAGAUGACAAAGGAAACGAUAACAAUCGUCGUAGAGUCAACAUGAUCAUCAGAGGAUCGCAAUUCUGCAACGAUACGGUUUCGGGCACCACGGCUUACCAGCGGAAGGCGGAGUCAAGUGCAAACUGGCCUACAUGGUCUCCUACCCGAGAUGAUCAGAACUGCUUAAUCACCUUCACAAAGGAGGAAGCCGGCGGGAUCGAUCAGCCUCACUGCGAUCCGCUCGUCAUAGACCUCGUCAUACGAGAUCUGGAAGUCGGAAGAGUACUCAUUGACACGGGAACAACGGUCAAUGUAAUCUUCCGCGACACUCACAAUCGGAUGAACAUCGAACUCGGAGAAGUAACUCCAACUCCGAAACCGCUCAUGGGCUUUUCGGGCGAAGUAUCGAUGACCCUCGGAUCGAUCCAGCUCCCAGUCAUGGCCAAGAAGAUCACAAAAAUCAUCGAGUUCGCGGUAGUCGAUCAUCCUGCCAUCUACAACGUGAUCAUGGGAACCCCAUGGCUCAACGCUAUGCAAGCCGUUCCAUCGACGUACCACCUGGGCGUCAAAUUCCUGACCCCAAACGGAGUCGCAGCUAUCUGGGGAUGUCAGAAACAGUCGCGACUGUGCUUCCUCGCGGAACACAAGUUAAGACAGAUGACAACCUCUGCAACGGCAAAUCGUAAACGCACGAAGAUCAAUAAAUCUUCGACCAACAACGUUUCGAGAAAAUAUGAUUUAACAUCGUCUGCUGACGCAGACGCUUCGGGUGUCGAAACUCAACAUGAGUCCGAAGCCGACACUACAACUCAACCAGAACAUCCAGAAGAGAACACUGACCCAGCCACGAUCAUCUCGAUCAAGGCGGUCAGCACGGCGACAACAGCCGAGUGAAAACGCUCGCGGCAUAAAACAGAACUACGAGAUGGCUUGAUCCUCGAAAGGGGUACGUAGGCAGCUCGUCGAAAGACGAGUUCAGCUAUCCCCCUCUCUAAAAAGGGGGGGGGGAGUGGGUGCGUAUACUCGUACACUCCCACAUAGGAAAAGAUGCGUUAUUGUAAUCGAAUUCUAUAGAGAUUUCGAAAUUUUUUACGAUCAAUAUGCGUUGCUCCUUUUUAAGACAAAAUCGCAAAACAAUCUCAUUUCAGCACCAAAAAUAUACGUAUAGUCUUCGAAAUAACUGCGAGACGUCGCCAAGUUAAAAAUCGAGAUGAUACGAACAAAUUGUCCGAAUGCGACAACUACAAAUCUUACACUCCGUUCGUCGAUUGGCCCCGACGAACACAUCAUCCGUCUUAAACAAACGCAACUUGAUCACUCUUUUGAUCUUUAAAUGUCCAACACAAGGACGAAAGCGCGCUACAAAAAAAAUCCGAAAUUUUGGUCUAGCACUUCCAGUUGGCUUAAAAAUUAUCUCUGGAAAGAUGCUCGAUUCGUACCAUAGAAGUCGUAUAAGCCGAGAACCUAUCGCGGACUUUAAACCGGUACGAAUCAGGAAGAAAUCGCAACAGGAAAACCGAUAGCCGGCUAGCCACCGCAUAAACCUUAAAACCGAGAGUAAACCUAGGUCUUGCCCUAAACCCAUCGUAUUGGUCUCAGACAUCUCAAAGACAUGAUAUCUAAACGAUACGAGAUCCUAAAACAUGUCUCUUCGUUCAUAUCUCAACGUUCCCGAAAGAUCGUAAAUAUUUUUUUACGAAAACUCACGUCUCGAACAAACUAACAGAUUGAACGCCUCAACGAAGAUAAAUAUGAGAACACAACUCAUGUUUACUGCAAAACCCACUCUAAACAAAGUAACUCAAACAAACAUCCAUUAUAUAAACUGCAUAGCGGUAGGGGUUCAAAGCCACCAACGGCCAAUCCCGACAAAAACGCCCAAAAUAGGCCCACACAAAGUUCGAAAGCCACACUCGGCCAGACAUAUAUGAACAAAGGCCACACUCGGCCGCUAAAUACUAGAUAAUGGGAAAAAAUCCUUCCCGUCAAAACACUCACAGAUCGAAGUUAAAAACCCGGACAAGGAAGCUCCGAAUGCAUCCGCGGGAAAGUUCACUUCCUCAUCGUCACCGGCAAAAUCAGUCGUAGUUUCUACGGUAUCAGGGGGAACCGGGAUGGGAUCCCAGAAUCCCUGAAUCUCCCCAUCGAUCGGGGGAAUGGUCGCCUCAGCGUGAGCAUGAUCCUUCAUGCCACCCUUCAUUAACUCCAUCUCCCUCUCGAAAACAUAGUCAUCUUCCUGCGUCUUCCAAAGGCUCCCGACGGAGCCGCGACACUCACAGAAGUCGCCCAGUGAGUUGAAAGCGCCCUUAAGAUUCUCGUACUCAACCUGGAAUUGAGAAGCGCGAGUCUUCAUCACCUCGAAGAUUUUCCUCUUGCCCUUCCGUUCCGCCCUAUGAACAGCCCUGGCAUGAUCACGAGCGAGUUGAGCUUCUCGCGCCAGCAUCUCGUCUCGCAUGCGAGCAAGAUCCUUUUCCGCCUUCUCCGCCUUAAAGCGAUAGAUCAUGGCCUCUCUAUGGCUCGCCUCAAUGGCCAAUCCAAGCAAGUUCAAACCCUAUAAAACCGAUUGACACGUUAUAAGCAAAAAAUAAUAAUAACAAUCGUCAGAAUUCAUAAAGUUUAUACCCCGUUAAGGAUAUGAGAUCCUUCCGCAACAACUUUCGGCCUCCCUGACUCGCUCGUGGCCUGAGGAGCGUCAAAACCCGACAGAAGAACAGCGAAGAAAUCAUCGAAGUCCGGAAUAGGGACCUCGCUCGUACCGCUUCCAUCGCCGGAAGCAAGGUUCGGAUCCCAUCCUGGAAGCAUGCAGUCGUCCACCGAAAACUCCAGGUCGCCGAGAUCAAUAUCUUUCCCCUUCAAAGAGUUCGGCCCCGUCACAAUCGUGGGAGCGGCAUUGGGACCCUGGUCUUCAGGUUCGGAAUCACUCCUUGUUUCUCCGCCCAAAGCAGGACCUGGAUGUACAAAUCUCAGCGCAUUUCGAACUCUCUUCGGCGUAAAGGAAGUCCAGAAAAAAGGACCAUUCCUGAGCAGAUCUCUCAUCGCAAUAAUGUCCUCAGGAAACGAAGCAAGAGGGUUGAUAAAGGGACGAUCGUUCGGCAACCUCCGAAACAGUGGGAUACAACUCUCCUCAACGGACGCUGCGUCUACACGGACGAAGAAGAAAAACUACCUCCACGAGUUGAAGAUAGAAGCGAACCCCUUUACCACUGACAUGAAGUUCCAAGGAACCAGCCUGUACGUGUCCGUGUCCCUGAUGAUCUGUAAUUGAAGAAGCGCUUCGAAGUGAUCAACGGUGAGAGAGAGACCAUGCUCGUAGCUCAGGACCAGGAUCCCUUUGAGGUGCUGGAUGCCGAGAGGAUUCAGUUGGCUUAUCGCCACCCCGAAACGUCCCAACACACGGACGAUGAUCUCGGUGGAUCGGGAACCACAAACGGCAACGCACUACGAAUGCCUCGUAACAAGUAAAGAAGCCCUCCGGGGGACUACUAGUGCAUUCUCCCUGACGAGGAACCCUGAAUUCCACCGCGUCCGAAAUAUGGUAGAACGACCGCAUGACCUCGAGGAAUUCACUGGUAUUCCUACUUGGCGUACCUGCCUCCACCGGGUGAUGGUUCAUGACCGGGAACGAUUUUUCUUUGGGAGGGGUGAUCGAACCGUAACACGCAACCCACCAUGCCUCGUUCUCGGCUGGGUCUACCGAAUGAGGAACAAAUUCCAUCUUUGGAACACGAAGCUCUUCAGAAACGUUCGCGGGCAAGGACCCUUUUAUCGAACUUCUCUCCUUACUCGACAUCUCGUGUUUUUCUUUUAAAAUCAAGAAGGAAAUGAUAAAGAGAAAGAGAACGAACUUUUCAAGAAAAACUUCUCUGUGAGAAUGAGUAAGUGUGAAGAUUGUGAAGAAAUUACCUCCCUUCUUAUAGGGAUGAGAAAUUACUAUUUACUUGCGGAUUUUUGGACACGAACUUCGCCCAAAUACACCAAUCUCGUCCGAACUCGCCAUACCGCGCAUUGAGACCUCGCUAGAAAUCCACGCUCCCAACGAGCUGGGGGGCUAACUGUUGGGGUCGAAAACGGUUACGACGAAGUUAACGUCCAAAUCCCUGAAGAAGAAAAACGUAGAAACCUUCUUCGACAAACACUUUUUCGAAAUAGAUUCUUCUUUACGAAAAGCUUUGCGGAGGAAACGCGAGUCAUUGGACAAAGAGCUCGAAAAGGAUCAUUACGCAGCGACCGAACACGUGCUCCGCUCGGUCGCUAUCUAGCAACCGAAGGAUCGUUAUGCAGCGACCGAGCACGUGCUCCGCUCGGUCGCUACGUAGCAACCGAGUUCGUGCCAAGGCUCGGUCGCUACGUAACGACCGAACGUCCAUCCCGCUCGGUCGCUACGUAGCGACCGAGCUCGGUCGAGCUCGAGUCGAAACUCGGUCGCUACGUAGUGACCGAGCUCGAGCAGGAGCCCGGUCGCUACGUAGCGACCGAGCUCGAACCAAUGUUCGGUCGCUAUGUAGCGACCGAGCUCUUCCAAAACGUCAAUACAAUAUUAGUCCAUCCGUUCUCGUAUACCCUUCGAUGCUAUCUCCCGAAGACCAUAGCGAACCCAUUUCACGAUUCCCCGCCAUUCUAAGUUAUCGAUCAAACUUUACCGUAAAAACCGCGGAAAGUUCGUUCUUUAUCGAAAGAAGCCGUAAUAAAUGCUUCGAGUCGGAAGACGGCCCAAAGGGACCUAAGACAUGAUUCGAAGCCAGACUUACAAUUUCUUAACCAACAGCCCGUAAGCCGCAUGACGGUUUACGCUUGGUUCGCAAGUAAAGAUAAAUGUCAAGUUUCCGGGAAUAAAUACGAAAUUUUGAAAAUAAUUACGAAGAUCGGAAAAAAUGGAAUAUCUCCAUUUUUAUGCUAUGACGGCUUAAGGGCAGAAGGGGAAAAGCGUAAACCGACCUUGGAGUUAGUAUAUAAGGAGUCCUAGGCGAGAGGCAUGAGAGAGGACUUUUGACAGCAAACUUAGCACUUAGAGCGAUUUUAGGCAAUUUUCCGUUUUUGUUAUUCGAGCAACGACUCAAUUAGGUUUUUGUCGUCUUAGGGUUUUAGAACUAGGAAUCUCGCUGACAGCUCUCGUAGCCCAGGCACUUACCUUGUUGUAAACGCUCAAACGCAGAUUCGGAAUAAGAACUACCUUGCUCUCCUUUUUUCGAUUUCUUAUUUUAUUACUGUUCUCGUUUCGUGUUCUGAUUGCUUGGCGUGUGGUAUUAGCAGGUAGUUACCUUAUUUUAUUACUGUUCUCGUUUCGUGUUCUGAUUGCUUGGCGUGUGGGACCUCUGGGAAAUUAGGGUUUUCCUAGUUUCCUUAUUUAAACGAAAAUCGACAGUGCGAAUUUCGGUUCCCACAAUCUGUUGGGUAUGGGCUUAGCCUUCCCAAAAGGCCUGCAAGACAAUUAUCCAGGCACAUGAUUACAAACAAAGAAAGUCGGCUCCUCGACUUGCGAGCCGACGAUCGGCUCGGCUCUGGACUACUGUAACACUGUUUUGAAUCAUUGAUCUAAUAAAACACGUCUUUGUCUUGACCCACCGACGAGAACUCGUCCUUUCUCUUAAAUAGUUUAUUGACAGUCUCAGUUUAAACAGUUGGCUCCCACCGUGGGGCAGACAGAGUAGCGUCAACAAAAGAUCAUGACUCAACCCGACUCGCCGUCAGACGACGAGUCACCGGUGACUGAAGGCGCUCCAACAGCAGCAGCCUUCGCAGAAACCAUACUCGACAGGAUGGCACAGAAGGCGACAAUAGAGCAACUCGUUGCCAUCGCCGCCAUUUUAGCUCCGUUGGCCGGGGGCUUAGGAGAUCCGGCUACGACUGUCCGAAAACAACUGUUCGACAGAACAGCCAGUGCCGGAAACCCCACAAACAUGGAUGCCGUACAUGUCCAAACGCCCGGCGGCGUCGAUCUCAUCACCAUCUGGGAACUCGCCGAACUUAAGCAAUCAGUCCUGGACAUGAAAGACCGGAUGCUUGAAGGAUCUACUUCAGCACCAUUGAUCGAACGCGUCCUCGGCGAAACUCUAAAAACCCCUUUUUCUCGGAAGAUCACCGACGUUCGUUACCGGCCGACCGAAAAAAUUUGCCUUCCGACGUACGCCGGAAAGGCGGACCCAACUGAUCACAUCACUGCUUUCAACAUCACGAUGGGUCGAACCAACUUUUCCGAAGAAUAAAGGGACGCCGGUUACUGUCGUCUCUUCGUCGAGAGUCUUCAAGGACCGGCCCUCGGGUGGUUCACUGGAUUGGAGCGAGACUCCAUCAACGACUUUCACGACCUGACGACUGCAUUCCUCAAGCAGUACAUUAUGUUUACAAGACAAGGAGCAACUUUGUCUGACCUUUGGAAUCUAUCUCAGGGAUCGAGCCAAAGCCUCCGCGACUUCAUGGAAAAGUUCAAAGCAGUCGCCUCAAAAGUUCAAGUCCCCGACAGUGUCGCCGUCGACGCACUGAUGAAUACCCUCUACUUCAAGUCCUUGUUUCGCGAGGACCUCUACAGAAAUCCUACCACCUCGGUCCAGGAUGCUAUCGCUAGGUCGAACAACUUCAUUCGAAUGGAGGAAGAUACAGCAGCGAUACUCAAGAAACUGAACACGGCAGCCAAACCGGCAACCGCCCCGAAAGCUCCCGAGGCACGCCAAGAACUCCGUCAGCACACCUCAGGCAACAAGCCUAACCAGCCGAAGAGCUUCGUCUAUUUGGUUGAAGAUAAAAACUCGCCUCCAGGACCGACUGUCGUCGUACGCGAAAAAGGUUGGAACGUCUGGGAAAAUGACGAGAAGCCGCAAACCUCUUCGACGCCUUCAACUUCAAGUCCUGGCUCAGCUGAGCCAAAUCUGUGGUGCAGCUUCCAUAAAUCUAAAGUGCAUGAUACGAGGAGUUGCAGGCAUUUGGUCGAUGCCCUUUUCUCAUCUUAUGAAAAGGGCACAUCCAACGUCAAGUUGCCCAAGCCUAGGCCAAACAGCACCAAGAGCUGGAGCAAAAGCAAAGAAAAGAAAGCUCACAAGAACCAUGAUAAGUCUGGAACUCAGCCAAAGCAUACGGAGGAUGACAAGCCAGAAGAGCAGGACGAAGAUGAGGGUGAAGCACAAGUCGAAGAAGAGCAACCUCGUAAUCGUCGACGUGUCAAAGUCAUCCUCGCACGACCAAGUUCCCCCUCUGAUGAAGAAGAGGACAAACAAGUCCAUGACUCACACGAGUACUCCAGUAAGCGACCAAACGAGAGCGUCUGGUCAGAAGGGUCGAACGCCUUGAGAAACAAGCUCAGAAGAGAGUCGCAGACAACUGAUCGCACACACGACUCACACGGUGAUCUGCACUCAAUCAUCGAAAAGUCCAAGGCUAGGAAAAUCGAGGACUCGAAUGCUCGAUUUCACCUCAGGCCACGAGUCAUCGAUCUUCGCGAUAAGCUCAACUCUAAAUCAGAAGAUCUCAGGAUCAAGCUCAAUCGACCAAAGCGUUCAGAUUUACGACGAAGGCUCGAGGAGGUGAAAUCCAAGAGUUUCAACAAACACAAAUCUGUUAUCAAAGACACGUCCGUCGUCAAGGACUUACCUGUUGUCGAAGACUCGCCUAGCGACUUGAGAACUGAAUUGAGAAACAAAUGAGUCGUCGAAUCAAAUUUCUUAGACGUAAUCAUUGGUGGCUCACCUCCUUGCGGUGAUUCUGUCCGGUCUGUAAAGGAUUAUUGACUACAGGCAAUAACCUCGAGGAAAUGGCCAUCAAAACCUGAGAAUGAUCCCUCGAUCACUUUCUCACCAGACGAUGCCAUCGGCGUCCACCUACCUCACAACGACCCCCUACUAGUCGAAGUAGGAAUCGCGAAGUGUGACGUCGCUAAAGUUUUGAUCGAUACUGGCAGUUUAGUCGAUUUGAUCUUUCGAGACACGCUCGAUAAGAUGGGAGUCGACUUGCGCGACAUGAAACCAUCAUCUCGCUCCCUCACAGGAUUCAACAGAGCUUUUGAGACAAUGAUCGGGAUGAUCAAACUCCCCGUCUACGCAUGCGGAGUGACACGCACAGUCAAGUUCUCAGUCAUCCGAACGAAGGCUCCUUAGAACGCGAUCCUCGGAACCCCCUGGUUACAUUCUGUUAAGGCAGUGUCCUCUACGUACCAUCAGUGCGUGAAAUUUCUAGGACCAAACGGUCAGGUGCAGACGCUUCGCGGAGAGCAGCAGGCCACUCGCGACCUACUCAUUGCGACGGUGAAGAUGCAACAAUCGACUCCCCGCAUCAACGCGGUAGCAAAGCAAAAUCAACCUCAAAAAGAUGAGAUCCUAGAAGUCACCAUCGACGACUCUGAUGAGAGCAAAGUAGUUUGAGUCAGAGCCUUCCUCGACGAAGAGAUGGAACGUGCAAUCAUUGACUUCCUCAAGAAGAACGCAUCAACGUUCGCUUGGGCGACAUCGGAUAUGAAAGGAAUAAUCCCCGCCAUCACAUCCCACGAGCUGAAUGUCGAUCCAACUGUCAAGCCCGUUCGCCAGAAGAGACGCAAGCUCGGCCACGACCGAAGCAAAGCUGUCAACGAAGAAGUUGAGCGACUCCUCGCAGCCGGCUCAAUCACAGAGGUGCGAUACCCUGAGUGGCUAGCUAACCCGAUCGUCGUCAAGAAGAAGAACGGAAAGUGGCGCGUCUGCGUCACUUUAACGAUCUGAACAAGGCUUGCCCAAAAGACAGUUAUCCGCUCCCGCAUAUCGAUAGACUCGUUGAGUUGACUGCCGGAAACGAGCUCCUGACUUUCAUGGAUGCAUUCUCGGGCUACAAUCAGAUCAUGACGCAUCCGAAUGAUCAAGAGAGGACUGCGUUCAUCACUGAUAGAGGAACUUACUGUUACAAAGUAAUGCCGUUCGGUCUUAAGAACGCCGGAGCGACUUACCAAAGACUCGUCAAUCGAAUGUUCGCCGACAAACUGGGGAACAUGAUGGACGUCUACAUCGAUGACAUGCUGGUAAAGUCACUCCGCGCGACGGACCAUCUAGACCAUCUUAGAGAAUGAUUCAAAACAUUGAACGAAUAUGGCAUGAAACUCAAUCCAGCCAAGUGCACCUUCGGCGUCACCUCAGGAGAGUUUUUGGGAUACAUCGUCACCCAGCGAGGAAUUGUGGCAAAUCCUAAACAGAUCACCGCCAUACUCGACCUCCCCAGUCCAAAGACCAGCAGAGAAGUCCAGUGACUCACGGGAAGAAUCGCGGCCCUGAAUCGCUUCAUUUCCAGAUCUAUGGAUAAAUGCCUUCCCUUCUACGAGCUGUUGCGAGGGAACAAACAUUUUGUUUGGGACGAGAAGUGCGAGGAGGAGUUCAAACAACUCAAGGAGUAUCUUACGACUCCUCCCGUAUUGUCCAAACCCGAAACCGUUGAUAAACUCUCUCUUUAUAUCGCCGUAUCCUCGACUGCGGUCAGCAGUGUCCUCGUCCGAGAGGAUCGAGGAGAGCAGAAGCCUAUCAUCUACAUGAGCAAGUGCAUGAAUGAUCCGGAAACUCGAUACCCCACCCUCGAGAAGAUGGCCCUCGCCGUUGUAACGUCGGCAAGAAAGCUGCGUCCUUACUUCCACUCGCAUACAAUUGAAGUACUGACUAAUCAACCUCUUCGAACGGUGAUGCAAAAUACAAAUCAAUAUUGACGGCUAUCGAAGUGGGCUAUCGAGCUCAGCGAGCACGACAUUGUCUUCAAGAAUCAAACAGCUGCAAAAUCUCAAGUCCUCGCAGAUUUCCUCGUCGAGCUCGCGCCCGAGCUUGAGCAAGAUCUAAUCUUUCCAAGUCAAAAUUGGAUACUCCAUAUCGACGGAUCGUCAACAAACGAAGGAUCAGGAGCGGGAGUACAACUGUAAUCCCCAACAGGAGAGUUAAUCAGACAGCCGUUCAGCUUCGGCUUCGCCGCUUCGAACAAUGAAGCAAAGUAUGAGUCAUUGAUCGCAUGACUACGACUCGCCAAGGCAGUUGAGAUAAAACGCCUCAGCGCGUACUGCGACUCCCAACUCGUAACCAGUAAGUUCAGUGGUGACUACAACGCCCGUAACGAACGGAUGGAUGCAUACCUCAAGGCCGUUCAAGCACUCGCCAAAGACUUCGAAUUCUUCGAACUCACCAAAGUACCCAGAGGAGAGAACGUGUGCGCUGAUGCCCUCGCUGCCCUAGGUAGCAGACUGCACGAUCAGGUGAAACGUACCAUUCCUAUCCACAAGAUCGACAAACCAAGCAUCGAUCUACCUCCUAAUGAGACCACCGUCGUAGCAUCAAUAACCGAAGCCACGACCAUGGAUCAAAUCCUCGAAGCGGAAUCAGCUGACGCCACCGACUGGAUGACAAAAUUUAUCGAGUACUUGGUUGAUGGAAAGCUACCUCCCGAGAAAUGGAUUUCGAGACGGCUCAAGACACGGAGUUCCCAUUACGUCGUCCUCGAUGGAGAGCUCCAUAGAUGGACCGCAACCAAGGUGCUUCUAAAGUGCAUCAACGGCGAGGAGACGCACCUAGUCAUGGCUGAAACGCACGAAGGCGCUGCAGGAAAUCACUCCGGAGGUCGAGCACUUGCUUUAAAAGUAAAAAGUCUCGGCUUUUACUGGCCAACAAUCAAUGCAGACUGCGAAGCUUACACCCAGGGAUACGAUCAAUGCCAGAGACACGCCUCGACGAUCCGCUCCCCGACGCAGCUGCUGCGAACGAUGACAGAUCCAUACCCUUUCAUGCGAUGGGGAAUGGACAUAAUCGGCCCAAUGCCGAGUUCUCGACAGAAACAUUUCGUUCUAGUCUUGACAGACUACUUCACGAAGUGGAUCGAGGCGGAAGCUUUCGCAAGCAUAAAGGAAACAGAAGUCCAACGGUUCGUGUGGAAAAACAUCAUCUGUCGCCACGGCCUACCCUACGAGAUAGUGACCGACAACGGCUCCCAGUUCAUAUCAAACAAAUUUUGAGAAUUCUGCGAGACAACCAACAAAAUCAUAAUCGACGGUUUGAAGAAAUGCCUCGACCUGAAAAAAGGGUGCUGGGCUGAUGAACUAGACGGUGUUCUCUGGUCACAUAGGACAACUCCUCGAGGAGCAACGAAAUCAACUCCUUUCUCAAUGGCACACGGAGUCGAAGCCUUGGCUCCCGCCGAAUAAAUGUAACCAGUCUACGACGGCGAGGAUGGGCAGAACAUUGAACUCAACAGCGAUAUGCUCUUCGACGCCCUGGACGCUAUAGAAGAACGCUGCGACCAAGCUCUGCUACGCAUCUAGAAUUAUCAGCAUCAGAUCAAAGGCUACUACAACAAGAAGGUCAAGUCUCGACCUCUCGAACUGGGCGACAUAGUACAGCGCAAAGUGUUCGAAAACACUAAGGAGCUGAAUGCAGGCAAGCUCGGAACUAACUGGGAAGGGCCUUACAAAAUUGUUGAAGUUGUUAAACCAGGAGUCUAACGACUGGAAACGUCGACUGGCGAACCCAUUCCUAGAGCAUGGAAUUCCAUGCACCUCCAACGACACUACUGUUGAGCACAUGCCUGAGGAUCGAGCACUUGACAGCCUUGCUCGAUCGCCGAAUCUCUAAAUCAACGAGUGAAUGACAAUUCUGUCACUAUCACUGGCCAAAAAAAAAAAAAGUAAAUGCGCAUCCACUGCCCUUUCACUAACCAAAACGAACUACGAAAGGCUUGAUCCUCUCCUAGAGGUACGUAGGCAGCCUUUCAACAGGUCUAGCUAUAACAAAAACAAUCUCCCAACAUGUAGGAGCGCAAAUUAUUUUAAGUGAUGCUUACGCACGAGCACGACCUUGUCUCUCGAAACAAACGUACUAGCACUCACACCCACUAACGAGCAUGUCCUGAUCAGACACAUGCUCGAGGGAUUUUCGGUCGUAUCGCGGUCCUGACCCAUGCGUUCGACACACAACUUUCAAUCAUCUUAUAAUCCUCUAAAGCCGGGCUUGGCCAACCUAACAUUUUUUGGAUUACUUCAAGAUCGAGUGGAAACCGUUGUUGAUCGAAAAUAUAAACGAUUGUCUUCGAAACUCGAAAAUUAAAACUGUUCUCGAGGACUCGAACUGACGGCAUAACGCGUUAAAAUUUUAUAAGACCGAGUCAUCGACUCUCCGGUUUAAUUCAAAACAUCGACCAAAUUGCCAAAUCAUAAUCGUUUAAACCCAAUAUUCAAAGUAGAAUUCAGCGACUCGUCGAAAGCCAACUGGCACUUUCGAGUCCACAAAACUAUGUCUCACUACUAAGGCAAACUUUGUUCUAGAAAUAAUUUCUGAGGAAAACAAACUUACUGAAAGUCUGAAACAAAAGAACCGCAGAGCGAAACAAGUUCAGAUAUUACAUCGACAAAAUCCUCCGAGGGCUAUAAACAGAAAGCUUAAGAAAAACAACAACAACAUAUCAAAUUAGUCCUCGAUACGAUCGGGGCCCUCCUCGAUGACCUGAGCUUCGAGCUGAUCCGAAGCACCUCCAGUCUCAUCCGUUGGCAGAACAGGUAGAUUCUCAGCUUCAUCAACCGCUCUCUCAUCUCCUUGCGGAUUGCCCACGAGGACAGGUUCAAUUUCAUCCGGUUUCUCACCACCCACCUCUUCAGUCAAAAAGUCUGAGAGGUCAUGAGGUUAACAGGCUCCACUUCCGUCUCCUCGACUCCCAGAGUAGGAGUGGGAGUAACACCACUAGCUCUGAGAGUCGGGAUAACCGGACCUUCAUUCACGACGAGGCCGGCCGAGAACACAGCCGUGUCCGAAACAAGUGGAGCAGUCGUGUCCUCGGGCCUCACGACCUUGCUAGCAAUCCCACGUUCCUGAAAAGAAGACUCCCCGAGCUCUCUUCCAGUCGGGUCAUCCAACUUUUCGGUCACAUGAUCACCCUGAGAACUACUCGGAGUUUGGAGGAAGGCAGCGGUUCCAGCGUCAUUCAGACCUGCAUUUGACCCGUAUGGGUCGAUCGCCGCCAACACAUUCUCCUUAAAGAAGGGGGAUCGAAGACGAAGAGGAGAUAGACAGAGAAGCUCUUCGGGAAUCCCGCUGACGGCUAGGCGUUUAGCUUCAGCCUCGUACUCUUUCUCUUGUUCAGCGAACAAGUCAAUCAUCUCCUGCGGAAUAUCGGUCCCACUCUCCUUAAGUGCCUCAAGGCAUUUCUUCGUCCCGAAGGCUUGGCUCUGCAAAGACCUCGCCGUUUCGAACUCGCCACGACGCUUCUCGAGAUCUCGAAUUUUAGCGACACGGUGAUUGCUCUUAGCAAUCAUGGCCGUUUGUACACGGACUCGCUCGUGUGUGACCUCGUAACCCCAAGAAUACCUUAACCUAUUGACCUCCUUUAAGUGCCUCAGAGCCGUGGACACCAUCUUCUCUUCUAAGGCAGCUUUCUCUCUAGUCCAAGCAUUCUUCUCCUCUUCGAGUCCUCGGAUCUUCGCGCCGGCAGCCUCGAACUUAUCUUUCAACUCCCCGAACUUCUCCAAGAAAUGAGAAUUCUGAGCCUUCUUUCUGGCAAGCAACCGAGUCUGCUCUUCCGCAACCUUAUCGAUCGUCGAUUUAAACUCCUUUGCCUCGCGAUCGUGAGCUGUGUCCUUCGCCGAAGGAGCUUGUCAGAGUGUUUUAACUUGGACGUGGCCUCCUUGAGGGCCGAGUCGUACAACUCGACGACGAAGUUCAUGCUUCCAUCACUCUGUAUGGACAAAAGAAAGGAUCAGAAACUGGAAUAUAAAGGAGACGAAUCAAGGAGAAUAGGUCUUACCAAAAUUUUGGUCCUCGCUGCAUCAACAUAUGCGUCCUUGAAGAAAAGGUCCUUGACUGCAGGCAAGUCCCUGCGACCACCUUUAAACUGUCGAAUAAGUUCAGCGCAUUCAGACGGGGUGUAAGAAAGUGGAGUCUCGCUGACAUACUUGAAUUCCACGUGAUCGCAAAAUUUGACCCGACGCUCCUCCGAGGCUGAACCACCUUCAACGAUAGUCGGAGGUGCAGCUGAAGGAGUCUUCGCAGCAGAAGCGGAUUCAGCUGGAGUAGAUGACUCAUGACUACGGGAAGUUUUCUUCCUCUUCGGCAAAACGAUCGGGGAGUCGUUCAAUUCGACGACUGCUCGAGUCGCAGCAUCACGAGAGGAACCUUCCUCGGUGGAAGUUUUGCGGCCCUCAAUGUCCCCGAUAGGCUCCGACUGUCCCUCGACAUGCUUCUUCUUUUUCUCCUUUUUCUUCUUCUUCUUUGGAGGCCCAUCAGACUUGGUUCUCGCUUGAGAAGCAGCCAAAGCAGAGGAAUCAGGAGCGGAUCUCUUCUUCUUAUUACCAUCGGUCACCGAUGGCUCAGCAGUCUCCCGUUCAGAGGUCCGCAUCAGAUCCUCCCUCGGAGACUCGGCAUUUACCGGGCCUACAGAUGGCUCGGGGGAAACAGCGAGAGGUAGAGGAGCGGGAGGAGUCGUCUCACUAGGGGUCGUCUCACUGAGAGUCGCAGAAGAUGCCUUUUUCGCUCCGCUUAGCUUCUUCUUGAUUAAUGCACUCAAAUCCGGAAGUUCUUUCAUCUCCCUGGCUUCGUCGAUGAUCUUUUGCUCGGCACUACUGAAUAUCCAAAACCGCCGCUUAUUGCCGGUAAUCAAAGGUGGUAGAUCAGAACUCCAAUCCCCUGAAAAGGAUCAGGAAAAAUAAAAGUCACGAACGAACAAACAUGAGUCAGGAAAAAUACGGAACCACGGAAAGAGGACUUACGCUUCGAGAUUCUGUCAAGGACUCGUCGGACCCUCUCGAUGGUGAUGUGUUUCCAACUUACUUGGAAACAUGACACGACUGCACGAGCGUCAGAAACGAAAUCUUCUGGAUAGGAGGCCGUGUCUGGGUGAUCAACUGGAAUCAAACAAAGACUCGUCAGAAAAAAAGAAAAAAGAGACAGUCGAUAAGCUAAUAACAGCGUUCUACCGAGCUUAUGAUUCCACAAAAAUAGAAGGGAAUCGUCGGGCGGCUCCUCGAAGGCAAAACCGUCAUAUUUGACAUAAAAAUAGAAGCGCUGCCAGUUAGCCGUCCUGCUUGGAUGAUCAAUAAUUACGUUGUAGUUGGGCCUCAUAUGAAUCGAGAAUAGACCGUCCCCCAUGGAUUUCGUAUAGGUCAACUCCUCGAGAGUCCGUACGCUCAUCGAAACAUCGAUCUCUGCCGCCGUCACCAUCAAUACUACCGAAAUACGGAACGCGCCAUUAAAGAACUGACUUAUUGCUGCGCCGCGACGUCUCACAUAAGACGUGAUGAGUCGAGAAAUCGGAAACCAGAGCUUGGUCUCGCUCUGAAAAUAUGACUCCUAGACGCACUGGAAUCCCAACGGCGGGGACCACGGCCUUUGAGAUUUUGUCGGGAUCAAGAAAGUCACCCCGGCUCCUCCACAUUUUCUCAGCAGAGCCUUCACGCUGCUAGGAGUCAAACGAGUCUCCUCGACGUUCUCCCACGACUCUCCUUCUACGACAGGAGAACGCAUCUGCUCCGCCGCGAAAGCCGGAAGAUCCUCGAAGAUUCCCCCAGGGUGAUAACAACACGGAACGAAAUCAGGAAGAGAAACCUCUCCAUCGCUCGCUCCAUCCUGACCGUCUCUCAAUAUUAAUGUCGCACUCUCUCUCUCUUCGCGGAGCUGACGCGCUGAGUCAGCAACGAGGACUCGUUGAGGCGUGUCCAUGUUCUCUGUAUCCAUCAUGGCUUCACGAUGAAUCGUCUCAAAAUCAGAAGGAGAGUUCGACACAACGACAUGUGCAGGACUUGACUCGGUUGCUCUCGCCACGGCUUUCCCUUUCUGAGCCCUAGAAAGCUUACCGCUACCGCCCGAUGACAUCCUCAAAGCUAAGACUACAAAGUUAGAGAGAGAAGCGGAAAGUAAGAGAGAGAAAGUUCAUGAGCUGGGUGAAAAGUGGAGAAAAUGAGACGCGAGAGGAGUAUUUAUAGAUAGAGGAGCGCAUCGUACCCCGAGGAGUCAUCAUUAGACCUAGAUGGGCCUAGGUCGGCCCAUUUAGGCGCGUAGAGCUCACCGAACGUCGUGAAUUUUCGACUUCUCGAGGAGAACCGAAACCGGUCCAAAUCGAAACCAACAGUCAGCUCCAAAACCAGAAUUAACCACCGGUCCGAACCAAAACCGGUCAGAUCAUCGAGCGCGAGCAGAUGAGUCGAUUGCAUAGUCGAGGAGUCGACUGAGAUCGUAGACCUGAUAUAGUUGUCUCGCAAACCCUACUUUCAAAUUCGCUGAGUCGGCUACGCUACUCACCAGCGAACUGGGGGGACUUACUGUUUGGUAUGGGCUUAGCCUUCCCAAAAGGCCUGCAAGACAAUUAUCCAGGCACAUGAUUACAACAAAGAAAGUCGGCUCGUCGACUUGCGAGCCGACGAUCGGCUUGGCUCUAGACUACUUUUUGUCGUCGAGACAACUGACUGAACGUCGUCGGCUCGAUGACUUGACUCAGCGGUCUAACGCCCCGGCCCAAUCACUCGAGGAGGCCCACCGAGACAGAGCGCAUUAGGUCAACGAGCAUUUGUCUAUAAAAGGAGGAGGAAAGGCAACAAGUGGGGGAUCCACAAAUUACUACACACACACUUUCGGCUAGACUUAGGGUUUUACAUCUUACAUCUCGCCGACUUGUAUGGUCCGACGAACUUAUCUUCGCCGGACUAUUUCAUCCAUUCUCUUCCCCUUUUGUAACACUGUUUCGAAUCAUUGAUCUAAUUAAACACGUCUUUGUCUUGACCCACCGACGAGAACUCGUCAUUUCUCUUCACUAGUUUAUUGACAGUCUCAGUUUAAACAGCAUCCACUAAAGGGUCACGGUCAUGCAUAACCUCAACACUUGUUGAUAAGGUGGAAGACAGACCAUUAGCCGAUAAAGCAUCCCUCACUAGUUUUGGCCGAGGAGUGUAAGAAAGAUGUCGCUUCCGUGCUUUAGCCUUCUGAUACUCAUCACAGACAACCGACACCGGGAGCCUCACCACGUUCCCUGGGAAAAGCAAUGUAAGAAAUAAACGAGACAAAAUCUUACCGGAUAAAAGGGAAUGCUUACCCCAAACACGACUUUGACGCAAGGCUUCCCUGCUGACCAGAAAAGUCACCCAUCAGAAUCGUCGAGGAACUCCCAUUAUAAGCUUCACUACUGCUUCUCCAGCAAAGGAAACCGGGUGGGACACAUUUGACAAAGCAAAAGCCAAAACAUCAAAUCGGGCUCCCAAAGGAAUGAAAAAACUCAAAGCCCAAAGAAGAACUUACCAACGGUACGCCAAGACGUAGGAUAACCAACCGUCUUCUGGAUCUUAACGAACACGUACUGGCUGUUCCAACCAGUCCCCUAUUCCAGACCAGGGUCUGGCACUAUAGAACCGCUGACUUCUUGCCAAAGACGGAGAAGCUCUGGGCUUUUGACGGCGUCUAGGAGACGGUGGAGCGUGGAGCUCUGAUGUUUCCUAAGGAGGAGCUUGUGCGUUGAUGUGAGGGGAUAGACCAGGAGGCUGGUGCCCGUUCAGUUGAUGAUAAUGCUCUUCUUACUCUUCAAGAGUUUGUAUUUUCGAAAUUUUCCUUUUUAUAGGAGGGAUUUCCUUUUUUCUGCGAGGAUCGGAUUUCCUUUUCGCCGUUUAUCCUUUACGUCAGGGAUUCUUCAGGAUAUUUGGAAAUAUCCUUACUUCCUUUUCUAAUCCUGCGAAAAAGGAAUGAUCCGGAUAUAUAUAAGGAGUCGUAAUAUCUUCUAGCUGGCCUCAAUCCAACUCUAGCGCUGAUUCCUAAUUGAGAAAGAUGAAUCCCAAGCUGCCCUCGUUUUCGUCCUUACUUGUGGGUGGUCGUCCAAGGCCAGGUGCAGGACAUGAUGGCUUGCCGGGAUCUACUAGUUCAGCAAGUGAAAGCCUCGACUAGAUGGGAGCUCAUUACGGAAUGGCUGGAAAAGCGCGUGGAACAUUCGAAUCCGGAAGAAGAGUAUCGGCGUCAUCUGUUCCUGUCCGGAGGACUUAACCAUCAUUCGGGUGUUGGGGUCAAAAUCGGUCACAACGGAAUCAAUGUCUGAAAGUCCGUAAAAAUCAGCAUGAACGUUUAUACGAAAAGUAAUCUUCGUAAAAAAAUCUUUACGAAGAGCCUUGCGGUAAAAUCUAGCUUAAAUCUCGAUCAAGCCAAGUACCGAUUAUCUCAAGGCAACAGACACGUAUCCAAACCAGCCACAUACGAGCUCGAGUAUAGCGAUCGGACCACGGACAAGCAAAGCGUGAUCGCUACGCAGCGACCAAGCAUGCACACUGCUCGGAUGCUACGUAGCGACCGAGCUCGAGCCAAGCUCGGUCGCUAAGUAACGACCAAACACGCGUACUACUCUGUCGCAACGUAGCGGUCCCUCAUAAAACCCGCAGAAACAACGCUACUUUGACAUAUGUAUACAUAUCACCGAUUUACAACCUUCGUAAAACUGAUCCCCAUUACUUACUCGAAAAAUCUUUCGUACAAUCAGACCAAGUCUUACGAAGAAACUUUCUAAGGUUAACAUAACAGGCGUUAUGAUAAAUUAUGUUUUGUAUAGCAAAUGCAAACGCAAACCUGUAAGAUCUGAUUUUUGAUGAUCAAUCUAAACUUUAUCUCUUCGCAUUACGAUAUAAUAGAUCUCAUUUUUUUGCCCUGCGGCUCGCUGGCUUCUGCCUUUCUUUUCCCUCGGUCACAUCUGAGAAGGCAGUCAUUCCGCCGCUGACUCCACACUGGUUAUGUGGCAAACCGCUUGGGCUUCGUCUUCCUCAGAAAAAAAGAGUCAAUUUUCAUAAGACUAUAGGUCACAUUAUACAGAACAUUCGUCGUAUAAUUGAAACCUAGAGCGGAGAAUCGUUUUCUAUGACUAUCAGCCAUAUUAGCACGGAUAACCCCGGCAAACUUGGCCUAUCAAUCUCGACAAGCGCUCUUUGGCCCUCGGUCAAUUACGCUGUCCACUAAAGGUCCAAACCAAUAUUUGCCAUCCCCUUUAAGGACGAUCGUAAACUAACAUGACCUUUAAUGUUAAAGUACCAUGGUCUAAUCCUUGACCUACAACAUCCUUGGCUAUCUGAGUGAACACAUCCUUCACGCCAGGCCAAACUAUUUGAGAAACCAUCGCUCCAUCACUUAACGGCUAAACGACAAUCUACGAUUUGUCUAAAAACAUCGUGUGACUAUUAAGAGAAUAAUUAUCGUAUAGCCCACAGUCCGAAAUCAUAUGAUAAAUUCUGCGUAAUGAAACUCAGUCCUAACAACCAAAUGGUUAACGGAAAAUCUGAACUUUUCAAAAAUUGACCAAGGUCGAUACGCUCCACAAUUCACUUUAAGCCCGCAACGUUUUACCCAUAAUAAGCGGCAUGUAAGGAAAAAUUCGUAACAAAGCUUCUAGAGCUAUACAAAACAUCCUAAAAAAUGCACGAAAUAGAUCUCGAAAGGCCAACACUUCACAAAGCACUAUGGAGGCAAAUGCUUCUUCCCAUGUACAAAUUUACGCGACUCCUCAGUCCUAAGUUCUCGAUCCCAAAUCAAAUUAUUAGAAUCAAAACAGGAACAACAAUUUUGGCCGCGAACAUCCGUAGUCAAACCAGAAUGUUUCUCAAACGCAGGGCUAAGACUAAACCCUUGCAACGUCGCGAAAUAUCUUCAAGCCCGCGAACAUUUCUAGUACGAAACAAGGCAUACGAAAGAAUAACAAAUCUUCAGCAUCGCGAGACGUCGCAGACGCCUGAAGAUUCAUUCUUCGACGAAAUUUCCUUCCUCGAUAAAAACACCUUCUUGGAAGACCAGACAGUCAUACGCACUAACAUCUUCUCAAUAUAUACCCUUCGCGAAGACUCAAAAUGGUAAUUUUUACCAUUAAGUUUGUUGCUGAUCACAACAAACUAUUAACGUCCUAAACAGACUUAGCCAUCUAGUAGAGAUGACUCUCGUACAUCCGACACAAGGAUAAUAGCGCAAUAAAAGAAACCCAAACUUUUUGGUCAACACUUCCAGGAGGCUUAAAAAUUUUCAUUGGAGAGAUGCUCGGUUCCAACCAUACAAGUCGUAUAAGCCAAGAACCUAUCGCGGAAUUCAAAUCGGUAUGGAAUCAUGAUGAAACUGAAACGGGAUAUGUAAGUCGAAUUAGUCAUCGCACCCUCUGAAACCAGGAGUAAACCUAGGUCUUGCCCUAAACCCAGCGCACUGUUCUCUAACAUCUCUAGGCAUAGUAUACAACACCCUGACACGAGUUUCCAAAAUUUGUCUCUUUGCCAAUAUUCGAGCGUCUUCAGAAAUCCUUCAAGUUUACACACUGCAGAAAACUCUCGAAACAGAUCACGAAUAUAGCAGUUCACACAGAGUUAGAUUACGACAUGACAACUUGUAGUCUUCCUUCUACACCCAUAUAAAAUGCCAUCGGCAGCAACACGCCUGAUAAUCUCUACACAUAAACUAGACCGUAAAGGUCUCGCUGGAAAACUAGUCUUAAAACCUUAACUCCAAGACGAACUACGAAAGGUUUGAUCCCUUCAACAAGGAUACGUAGGCAGCCGUAAUAAGGCGCAGCCCCAAUCUUAUCGCUUUCUACUCUUAUAAGAGCGAGAAGACCACUUACCACAGACCUUUUCAACCAUUAAUUCCGCUUAACUCACCUAACUUACCUAACUUGCCAAGCCACUCACUAGAACCUCACGCUAGAAGCUCAUGGUUCUAACGAGCUGGGGGGCUAAUUGUUGGGGUCAAAAUCGGUCACGACGAAAUCAAUGUCUGAAUGUCCGUAAAAAUCAGCAUGAAUGUUUUUACGAAAAAUAAUCUUCGUAAAGAAAUCUUUAAAAAGAGCUUUGCGGAAAAAUCGUGCUCAAAUCUUGAUCAAGCCAAGUACCGAUUAUCUCAAGGAAACGGACACGUAUCCAAACCAGCCACGGACGAGCUCGAGUAUAGAGAUCGGACCACAGACAAGCCAAGCAAGAUCGCUACGCAGCGAGCAAGCAUGCACACUGCUCGGUCGCUACGUAGCGACCGAGCUCGAGCCAAGCUCGGUUUCUACAUAGCGACCGAGCACGAGUACCGUUCGAUUGUUACGUAGUGACCGAGCUCGAGCCAAGCUCGGUCGCUACGUAGCGACCGAGCUCGAGCCAAGCUCGGUUUCUACGUAGCGGCCGAGCACGCGUACUGCUCAAAAACCAUAGCAAGCCCGUUUCAUGUUUCUCGUCAUUUGAAGUCAUCAAUUGAACUUUACAAUAAAAACCGCAGAAAGUUCAUUUUAUCGAAAGAAGCCGUAAUAAACAUUUAGAGUCAAAAGGCGGCCCAAAGAGACCUAUGACGUGACUCGAAGCCCACUUACGAUUUCUUAACCAAAGCCCAUAAACCGUAGGACGGUUUAUGCUUGGUUCGCAAGGAAAGAUAAAUGUCAAGUGUCCGCGGAUAAAUACAAAGUUUUCGAAGAUAAUUACGAAGAUCGAAAAAAUGGAAUAUCUCCAUUUUUAAGCUAUGGCGGCUUAAGGGCAGAAGAUAAAAAGCAUAAACCGACCUUCGAGCGAGUAUAUAAGGAGUCCUAGGCGAGAGGCAUGGGGGGAGAACUUUUUCAGAGCAAACUUAGCACUUAAAGCGAUUAGGCAUAUUUCCGUUUUUGUUAUUCAGGCACGGGGGGGGGGGGAUUUUCUCAGAACAAACUUAGCUCUUAAAGCAAUUAGGCAACUUUCCGUUUUUGUUAUUUCGAGCUGCGACUCAAUUAGGUUUAGCCGCCUUAGGGUUUUUAGAAAUAGGAAUCUCGCCGACAGCUCUCGAAGUCAGGCUAAUACCUUGUUGUAAACGCUCAUACGCAAAUUUGGAAUAUGAUUUCUCCUUGCUCUCUUUUUACGAUUCCUUAUACUUUAUCGUUAUUAUCUCGUGUUCUGAUUGCUUGGCGUGUGGUAUUAGCAGAUAUCCAGGACCUCUGGAAAAUUAGGGUUUUCCUAGUUUCCUAAUUUAAACGGAAAUCGACAGUGCGAAUUUCGGUUGUGGGGUCGCGAUUCUCAGAGGGGCCUUCUUUCUGAAUGAUUAUUUUCUUUAUGUUUUGAGACUCUGGUUUUUGUUGCUUUAUUUUGAAUAAAGGUUCUUUAUAGCCCCCUUGAUUUUAUGAAUAAUGAUGCUUCAUGGUUUUUCCCCUUUAUCUACUCCUUGUUGUUGCUACAACAUGCUCCUGAUAGUAGUGUUUUGCAUGUUUCUUUUUUAAGAGGGUAUUCUUUCGCCUGUUUCUCGAUCACGGUGGGACUUUGUAGUCUAUGGUCCUCUUUUUUCGUAGAUUGAACAAUAGGAUCCGGGGAGAUUACGAUCUUUUCUUUGCGCUUGUUGAACCAUGUACCAGUGAAGUCUCGCAUUGCUUCAUCUCCUCUGCCCCAUUUGUCCUUCAUUGUUGUAGUUGCAUCUUCUAUCUUCUGCAAUCUAUCUCCAAGACUCUCAAGAUUGAACUGAUGUCUCAUAACUGUGGCGUAUGUGUCAGUUGAGAUCUCCUCUCCAUGGUUGUGUGUGUUAGACAUAUCUGAUGUCACCUUUUGUACUAGCCUCCCUCCCUCGGUUUGUAGCGUCGUCGACCGAUGUAUGUCUGUGAAUGUCGAUCGAUGCAUGUAAGCGAUUGUCGAUCGAUGUCUGUCGACGUCUGUCGAUCGAUGUAGAGCAAGAUACGUCGGUCGCACGCUGAAUUCUGGCUAUGUCUUGCCUCAUCUCUUCCAUGCAAGUAGUUAGCCAACUGAUACUACCAUUCAAUGGAUAGUAGACUCCAUCAAGCUUCAUCUGGAAGUCUUCUUUGUUCUUCUCUUGUUCUCUGCAAAUUCCAUAUAACAUCUCAUUGAUCUCGUCCUUGGUGUAGAUCUCUAUUACUAGCUUGGUUUGUGUGAAUGAGCUAGCAUGUUCUAGAAGAUAGAUGUAGUUGGGGUCAUUUGUGCUCAUUUGUCGCAGCUCUUUCCAUUAGCUUUCUGAUCUCCUCUGUAGACACAUUAAUGAUUUGUCCAUCCAUAUCUCUUGGACAUCCCUGAUCAUCUCUGUAGACUCCAUACUCAUCUUUCUCUUCCCAGUAGAAUUUUCUGGUUCCAAAAAGGUUAAAAGCUCUUCUGCCAAAUUCAGGACAUUUGUCGACCGAUGUUGGGACGUCAACGUCAACGUCGAUCGAUGGUCGAGUAGGGUUGUGAGACCUCUGUUUGAAGCGUUUAUCUAUGCCACCAGAUGUGUCAUAAAACUCCUUUGUAACCUUCUUCUGGUGUUCGGUAAUAGUGCGUUGUUGCAUGAAGAGGUUGUCUGCCGCAUUGGCUGUCUGCCGCAUUGGCUGUCUGAAGGAUGUCGGCAAUAUCCUCUCGAGAUACGUGCAGUGUACAUCCAUCUAUUGCUUUUGCGUAGCCAUCUGGGACCCUGAAAAUACCAAAUUCGUCUGGAUUUAGAUAUAGGUUAUCAGAUUUAUCUUUUUUGCUUACAGUGGUUUUUGGUUUUAGAUGGCUGUCGAUCGAUGUUAUAUGGUUGAUGUCGAUCGAUGUUGGAGGAAUGAUGUCCAUUGAUGGAUGCAUAGCUCUGUCGAUCGGAUGGCAGAAAUGUGUUCUUUCCAAAGGAGAUUCUGCUCGUUUCUGAUCUGUUUCAUCGCAUCUUUGCAUGUUGAGAAGUUCCUCAUAAGUGAAACCCUCAUGAAGUUCAUCAGCUCCUUGAUCACGGUAUGCUGUCUCUACUGCGUAGCUCUCGGGAUGGCGAUCAUAUGCCCAACUUCCAAUUGAGUAAUCUCCAUCUCAGGUAGCGUCGAUGUUAGUGUCAAUCGAUGGGUAGUAGGCAAUGUCGGUCGAUGCUCGAAGGUGGUUUGGUUGAUGAGGUUGAGUUUUGAUCGAUGCUGAACCGUUCCUGUCGAUCGAUGGCGACUUAUUUUUCAAAGACGACUGGUGGAGAAGUAUAUCUUCCUCGUCAAGAAUCGCUCUUUGUUCUAUGGCUUGUUCUUCCUCAUAAUCUUCAUCAUACUCCUCCGGAUGCAUGUUGUGUUCUGCCAUAUUGGGAGUGUAGUAAUCUUUUUCCUAUUCUCCUUAAUUACUGUCUACCGAUUCUUCUUAUGCCCCAACGGUCGAUUUUUGUUGGGUAUUGCCGAUCGAUGUUGCAGUGAGAGUUGUCGAUCGAUGACGGUCUCCUGAUGUCGAUCGAUUACGGGUUCCUGAUGUCGAUCGAUGACGGGGUCAGAAUGUCGAUCGAUCUUCACGUAAAUAGGGCUGGGCGGAUGUGGGUGUUUUGCUGCAAACUCCUCGUGAGUCAUGAUCCACACGGCAUUGCAAGAUGCGGCUAACUCCGUAGGUGUUGUCGAUCGAUGUCCAGGAGAGGAUGUCGAUCAGUUUUGGGUGACUUAUGUCGACCGAUGUUCGUGCCUUGGCGUCGAUCGACACCAAUGCGAUCCGCCGAAACUCAUCAGACUCUCUACUUCGAAAUCUCCUUCUUGCAACUUCUCUUCUUUCACCACUUGACAGAAAUCAUCCCCAAUGAUGGCAUUCAUGUGGUGCUUCAUCACAUCAUCUUCUACCCCUCUUGUCAAGGGUCUCUGUCUCUUAACAGCUUCUCCUGCUUCUUCACAUGAGUGCUCAAAGUCUCAAACUUUGUGUUCAGGUUGGUGUAGACAGAAUCAAUCUUCCCAUUGAAGUCCACUGUCAUGCGCUUCUGUCCCUCGAGAACUCUAUCAAGUAUCUCCUAAAUCUUUCUCUCUUGAUUUGGCGGUGGUGGCUUCUGGUAGUAGGAGCUUCCAUAACCCAUGUUGUUGUUGUAGUUGUUGUUGUAUGGUUUAUGUCGCUGCGAACUCUGGUUGAAAUUGCCCCUAUUUACAUAGGAGUUUCUGUUUCCACCCUGGUUUCCAGAACCUUGGAAUCCAGUUCCACUGAUGAAGUUCACAUCUGCUUCCUCUUCUCUACCCUCUAUUUCUACAGCCUCUGCAUCUUCAACCAUGCAAACCUGCUUCCCGAGAAGCUUGUGAACACUGUCCAGCUUUGCCUUCACUUCAUCCAUCUGAUCAUUCCCAAGGAUAGUGGCAGACCUCUUCCUCUCAAAAUUAUUUUUCCUUGUGCUGUUGCUAGAUGUUUGGUUUUCAAUGACCUUCACUACCUCCUCUGGAUUCAUGGUGUUGAAGUUCCCAUUGCUGGAAGCAUCAAGAGCCAUCUGGUAUUGCACCGCGAUGCCUCUGUAGAAAGUAUUGAGCAGUUGUACUUCAUUGAAUCCAUGGUGUGGACAGUCUCUCUGGUAAGACUUGAAUCUGAUCCAGGAGCUUCUGAAUGAUUCUACAGGCUCCUGAGUGAAUGUAGCAAUCCUUCUCCUCAAGUCUUCAGCAUGUGCUUCAUCAAAGAAGUUCCAUAAGAAUGCAUUCUUGAUGUCACUCCAGGAUGUUAGGGAUCUUGGUGGUAGCUGAUUAAGCCAAUGCGAAGCAUCUCCAGCAAGUGAGUACUUGAAGAGCUUGCCUAGGAGGUAGUCUUCAGAGACUCCCUCGAGGUAGUCUUCAGAGACUCCCUCGACUUUAAUAGCAUAUAUGAGAUCCUCGAACCUCUCCAGAUGGAACAUAGGAUGCUCGUGAGAUAACCCAUAGUAGGGUGUUUGUCCCACGAGUGUUUAGUACUGCAGCUUCAACUCGAAAUCCCUCUGAAUAGUUGGAGGUUGAAUGGCUGAUCUGUUGGUGUAGAACUAGCUGGACGGUUGUAGUCAGCCAAUGUUCUGGGUCGAGCGGCCUCAUCUACAGGUAGAGUAGCCCAUGUAGCUUCAGACUCAGGGAUUGCAGCCCCCUGAGCGUCUAUCCUUUGACCAAUUGCAUUACGCAUAUGACCUUCCUGGUCAUACAGGUUUCCUCUCUCAUCACGUACAAGAAUCAAAGUCGCAACUGUUGGGGAAAAAUACUCCGGUAUCAUUUCCUCCAGCAUCCAGGCAGGACCCAGACCCUCGGGUCCCCGAUAAGGGAACCCUCCCGGUCCCCGCUAGAAGGAACCCUGACUUCUGUCCCUGGAACCGAGCUUCCUUCCAAGAAAUGGAAAACUUCCGAUAAGGAGAUCCUCAUAUUUCCGAAUAUGGAAGAGUUUAAGCUAAGGAAACCGACUCCUAGACAACUAUAUGAGGACUACUAAAACCCUAAAGCGAUAGAUCGACUUCCCCAAGGCUUAGAGACUAGAAUUAGACGGCUAGAACUAGAGUUCUUAUUCAAUACUUUGUAACCUCUCUUGUUCUUUCUUACUCUAUCUAAUAAAAGUAUCUUCAAGCCUAUCUCUUUAUUAUCCUUCCUAAAUCCUCACGAAAUACCUAUAAACUUACCUGGUUUACCAACUUGUCCAACGUUCCGUAGUACUCACAAAGAGCCUACACAAAAAUCUCCUAACAGUUUGGCGCUAGAAGGAGGGGAGUAAUCUAACUACGUGAUGAUGACGAUGGAUGAGCACGACAAACCAAUUGAAGCUGCUCAAACAACGACUGCGCUUCAAAAGCGAGUAGAUGUUUUGCAAAGCCAAAUCACCGACAUGCAUCGAGCCCGACAGACUACCGGAGAAAACCCCGGCCUCUCUUCAGAAGUUCAAAGUCUGAACGAGAAACUUCACGAGCACUCCAAACAGCUGGAGCAAAGCGCCGAGAAGCUAAGCCAGCUUCAGUCGGAGAACACCAUCCUCUGGGACCAGAACCAAGCCCUCAACGCGACAUGCAACAAGAAGCGUCGUUUCAACACCCGGGUCCAACCUAUGGGAAAUCUAAAUACACCCAGCAUCGAAGGAGGUACUAUCGACAAGCCUCUCGCACCUGGGGUAGCUGGGUAAACUCAGGAAGGGACCGAAAAUCCUCAAAUUCACGACUUGGAAGAGAGCGAUUCCGAGCUGGAACCCGAGAACGAAGCACCUAAGAGGGCCGCAGCAGCAGAGUCCUCCAUAACCGCCUACCUGGAGCAGAUUUUCUCUAAGCGAUUUGACGCCAUGCAGUCCAUGGUAGAACGCUUACCAGGAGUAGCUCCCCCAAUCCGGAGAAGCAACCCAGAUUCCUACGCUGAUACCCCCUUCGUAGAAGAUAUCGCCUCAGUCGAGAUGCCUAGAAAGUACUCCUUCCCCAGCAUCAAGAUGUAUGACGGCACCGGCGACCCCGAUGAUCACAUCGCGAGGUACAAGCAAAGGAUGCUGGCGGUUGCACUCCCUAAGGAAUCCCGCGAGGCCACGAUGUGAAAAGGGUUUGGUUCCACUUUGAUCGGACCUGUCCUGCAAUGGUAUCUCAAUCUCCCUACCAGGUCCAUAUCCUCCUUCGCGGGCCUGAGCGACAAAUUCGUGGAGCAAUUCGCGAGUAGUAGGAGCCUGGAGAAGACUUCAGAUGGCCUCUACGUGAUCCUCCAGCAUCGGGUGGAACCCCUGCGAGACUACAUAGCCCGCUUCAACCAGGAGAAAAUGGCGGUCCCGGAAUGCAGUAUCCCUACUGCGAUCUUCGCCUUGAAGAGAGGUCUACUUCCAGAUGGAGGGCUAUACAAAGAGCUGACCAUGUAUCCCUGUAAGACCAUGGAAGAUGUGGUGUCCCGAGCCUUGGCGCAAUUAAAGUGGGAGGAAGAUGUUGCCAGCCGUGCCAAGGCUUAGCCAAAGCAGGACCAGUGGUCAGCCCGAUCAGAUCGAGGAGACCAGGACGAAAGAUCCUCCCAAAAAGGAUCCAAGAACUCUAGUAGUAGAAACAGAGGCAGGUUCCACUAUCAGCCUCAGGAGAAGGAAGAAGGGAUUUCGGUAUCUACCUGGCCCGAUAUCUCCCAUCUCUCAAUAUCAACACCAGAGCUAGGCAGCACACUGAGACAGAUGGGCCAACAAGUUAAGUGGCCUCCAAAGAUGAAAGCCCCUGACGGGUGAUCCACGUCAUAUCCGGAGGUUCAGAAGUAAGCGGAGUGAACCACACAGCCGCAAAGAAAAGCACCCGUAACACUAAGCAUCGUCUGGAAACGAUCCAACCAAAGCGCCUACUUCUAGGCACCGAUGAGAUAAGCUUCACAGCUAAAGAGCAAGAGAAGAUCCUAGCUCCCCACCAUGAUGCCCUAGUUAUCUCUCUCACCGUAGCAAACUGCUUGGUGAAAAGAAUACUAGUAGACAACGGAAGCUCCAGCAACAUUAUCGUCCAGAUGGCGUACCAAGAUCUAGGGCUGGAGGAAAAAACUCUGACACGCAAAGUAACCCCACUCAUCGGCUUCAGCGAUGAAGUCAAGCGAACAGCCGGAGAGGUUAUCCUCCCAGUAUAUGCUGAAGUGGUCAAUAUGUCUACCAAAUUCCUGGUCGUAGAUUGUCAAUCGGCGUACAAUAUGAUCUUGGGACGACCCUGGAUUCACGACAUCGGAGCGGUCCCCUCAACCUUCAUCAGAUGGUAAAAUUCNNNNNNNNNNNNNNNNNNNNNNNNNNNNAUCAGAUGGUAAAAUUCCCUACACCCUGGGGCAUCAGAAUAAUUAAGGGAGAUCAGGAGAACUCUCGAUCCUGUUACCAGACCACCUUGAAGGGGAAGAUAAAUGUCUUAUAGCAAUUACAUAAAAGACCUCGGACCCCGCAGACUCAGGGACCAGAGGUCAAAGAUACAAGAAAUUGGGGAUCGGUCCAGACAAGCCGGACUCUGGAUCAUUCCAAGAACCCGAGGAAUCCUCGAAGAACCUAUGUCGACCGCUCCGCAUGGUCUCCUCCGAAGCCCUUCAAAGUUGCUUCUGCUCGCAAGACAAAAUUACCAAGAACCUUAUCAGGUAUCAGUCAGUGGUCUCACAGAUAAGCAAAUGGGGCCUGAGUACUCCAAGGAGACUUCCUCAGAAGAUACAUCAGACGGGUCUAGAGCAAAGGGCGCCUCGCAGACACAGGCUGGAGAAACUUAGCCAGGCAGGGGACCUCCAAGCCUGGCGCUCCAGUGGAUGAAUCUGACUACACAUUUCAUGGAGAUGCUUAAAACCUUCAUCAGCAGGAAACGGUGGUCCCUGAGCAAUAAAGGCCGGGGCAUGAAACAAAUCUCAACCAUGAUACCUAGACCCAAGAAAGAAGCAGAGCUCUGCAGAAGAGGAGGAACCCUCCAACAAGGAGGCUCGUUCCAAAAGCAAGUCAAAACCUGCGGGUCACCUAGCAACAAGAGGUAAAACAUGUCCUAACCACCGGGGUACCUCGCAAGCUGAUAUCUUGGACGGGCUCCGGACCAUGAUUUCUAUUAAUUAUCUUAUCUUUUAUUUAAGCAUUAUGUUUCCUACUCCUAUGUACGCUGAAACGUCUCCGGACAAAGCUUAUAUAAUAAAAUAGUUCCGACUAUAAAAAGAGUAGUAGGAAUGCCAUAAUACUUAAAGGGGCAAAUGAGCUGGAUCAGGUCCAAGAGACCUUCGAUCCUCGCAAACCCUUAAUGAUAAGUGGUAUGACCACGAAAAAACAAAACGGGUAUGAGACAUAAGGUAGGAAUGGGUCUGCGCAAAUGAUAUAUGGUGUUUUAGACAUCUUAUAUAUAUGCUUUACAAUCGGUUUUCAUGUCUUUAUCGAGUCUUCCUAGUCCUUUUCGAGUCAUUACAGGUCUUGCAUUGGAUGGGAGAUGGACCAGCUGGAACAAAAGAGGCAGAAAACAGUGCAAUUUGGCGAUUUUCACGCAAAACAGUCUUGAUGACUGUUCCUGGUCGAGCGGAACAACACGAGUGCCUGUUCCAGCGGCAUAGAUUUUUAAGGAAACUACAACCUAUUUCGGGAUUUGCCCUAAUCUCUCUAUUUUCUCUCCCAGAUGCCUGUGGCUCUGAUAUAUCUUCUUUUUCUGUUUCUCCUGAUUAUUCUACACUAUUUCUUGGAGAAGAAACCAUACUCUAGAACUCCAUUGUUGCGAUUUGCUACCUUGAAAAGGGAGACAGCUCCAUCUCUCUCGUCUAGAGAAGAUUACCCUGAACCCUGUUUUUGUUUUUGUUAUUCUUAUGCAGUAUUAUUCAGUAUUGAUGCUUGUGUUUUCUUGUGUCAUGGCUGAGUAGUUGGCUAGCUAGUCUGGGGUUCUAUUGUGUUAAUCAUGUGAGCUAAACAUAGAUAAGUGAAUCAUAUUAUUGUCUUCAUUCAUAUCCAUCCUUACUGCUUGCAUUAAUCUGGCCGCUUAAUGUUAGAUCCUAAGUUUAACAUGUUCAUUAACCGUGUAAUAGGUUGCUAGAUCUGUUAUGAAUGAGCCUAGCAUCCCUAAUCAGCGAAAGUAGAUAUUAGGGUGUUUGGUGAACCUAUCGGACUUGAUCUCUAUUGCUUGCUGUCACGUCUUGAUCCAAACGAGAGUUUAGGUAUCAAGAUCGAUCAGCAUAGGGGGCAGUUCCACGACAGUGGGCUAUUCUACUUGAGUGAUCCGGGUUCUGGACCUGUUCUUAUAGCGCUUGAAUAAUUGUUUAUCUCACAAGUAUUAGCAAUUGAUGAAGUAACCCUAGGCUGGCUUCUUUUAAGUUGAAUUUACAUUUACAUUACUUUAUUUGUUUUGCACGUUACCCACAAAUCAAAUCCCCAUCAUUGUUUUAGCUAAAUCAAGAACUCAUAAGAAUAAAGUGUAAACUGGUCCUCUGGAAUUGAAUCUCAAAUAUUACAACACUACUUUUGUUUGCAGUAGGAAAGACACAAUUUUAGUGUAUCAGCAAACCUGAGUAUGCCGUCAAUACUACCUAAAACCACUGUAUAGCCUCAGGCAUAUUGGGGUCCAAAACAAAAAUACCAAAAAUGUGAAAGUACCUGUAUUAAAACGCUACGUGCUAGAAUAAUACUUGAGACAUGUGGUAUAAUUGCCAUUGAGCAAGUGCAAAAGUACGGGAGCACCACAUAAUACUCUACUUCUCCAGACGUGGAAAGUAGCAAAGUCUGGCACUUGAAUUUUCACCCAUACCAGCACCCUCUAAGUCUGAUAGUGGCUUCCUGCAGAAAGCAGAAUGCAGCAUGGGAACUCGAUAGUGACCAGCUUCCGAUCAGUAGAAUGCGAUACCCCAACAGGUACCGGGAGUGGCCUCACCUAGGAUGGCAGAGUACAGUCCUUUUAAAACCUUAAUUCCGGGUUCUGAGAAAGAACUCCGGGCUCAGACAGGCCUCAUGGCCAAAAACCUAUUUGGUUCCCUAAAUAGACUUCAGGGUCCAAAAACCAUGUGUCAAACUCAAGACCUCAGGGUCCAGAACCCACAGGUUCCCCAAAACGACCUUCGGGUCCUAAGCUUAUCAGAACUCUCCAAGUGACUCCAGGGUCCUAGAGGAGAUCCAAUUAUGCGAGGCCAAUAGGGUCACCUAAUCAUUACAGGGUCUGGAGGGUCCAUAGGUCCUCUGACGAUUGUGACAUCUGGAGCCCAUACAGCCCAGGUCCUGUAAGAGACCCUUGAGCAAUCAAACGCUUACCUUGACAGCCCUUCGACUACAAUUUAUGAGUCAAGUCUCAAAACCCCAAGUUCAUCCUACAACCUGCAUUCUUUCGAAUGAGAAGCAAUACGAGUAUCAUCUACGAAGCUAAAACAAGCAAACAAAAAAAUGCGAAUCCGGAAAGCAUAAACCAAAAGGCCACAACAGGGCCAUCGUUUGAAAGAAGCAAAAUAAAAGAGGCACAAAGGCCUGGUUAGAAGUUUUUAACCCUUAUCAAGGGCAACUACAAAAUGAAACCCCUUCACGGGGAUUAGAGCUCUGGAACGAGAAGAUCAGUCGGAAGAAGGAUCAUCAGCAGGCUCCGGCGUGUCAACCCUCUCAGGAACUUGCGGCUCAUCAUCAAAGCAAGGAACAGGAAGACCAAGGAGCUCAGCCUCAGUAGUCUUCACGGUCUUAUAUUGAUCCAGGGCCGCUGCAGGCUUCCAGCUGUCAGUCUGAUGACGAAGCCAUUCUCGCAUCAACUCCCAACGGACCAUGACCUUUGCACCGUUUACGGCCAUUGCCUUCUCAGUAUCAAAGACCUCUGCGGCGUACCUCAAUUCGCAUAUGUCCUCUUCCUUGUCUUCCAACUGUUUCUGCAGAGAAACAUUCUCCGUUGUCACACGCUCCAUGGCCUCUUCCUGAUGCUGUACUGCGAGCUUCAAGGCCUUAAUUUCCUUCUCUUUGGCCAAGACAGCACCUUUCCCCUCACGCAGCUGAGCGGUCAGCGCAUCCACCUCAGCCUUGGCAGUAGUCUUAUCCUCCAUCCUCUCCCCAAGAUGGAAUAAUUGAGAUGCCGCCUGCAUCAACAUAACCCAACCCAUAAAGAAAGACGUUGCCAAGGCAAGACAAAGAAUACGGUACGUUACCUGGAGUAGAUCACCCUGAAAAGAGCGGAGGGCCGCGAAGGAGUCCCCAUCCAACGACAGAUGAGCAAGAACCAAAGGGAACACCUUCGCAUUCAAAUUGAACAAUACUGCGGACCAGUCAAAAGAAACAGGAGAAAGGGUUCUGGGAACAGAGCCUGAAGCCCUAAACCUUUUCUUGGAGGAAGAAGGAGCUGCAGCAGCAGCCAUUCGACACCUACAACUACCCACAAACUGGACAUCUUCAUCUUCAAUAGGAGCAAUUCGCUUGACUGCAGCCUUCCUUGCAGACAUCGCCUCAAGAGCUUUCUUAUACUCCGCCAAGGCCUCGUUACCUCUAGAGCCCGAUAUCACGCCUGGAAGACAGAACCAACCUGACUUAAAUUCAUGAAAGAAAAACAGGAAGAGAGAAGACAGAAAGCUUACCUCUAAUGCUACACCGAUCUAGUUCUUCGUCGCUUACAAGAAAUAAGACUUCAAGGCGUUCAAGGGGAAGCUCCAACAACUGCUCGAUCGUAUCCCUUCCUGAAGGAUAAUCCAAGCGAGAUACGUCUUCAUCAGAAGAAGUCAUCAGCAUCAGACGAUUAAAGAAAGUCAUGACAAUUUCUACGACCCACCAGCUGCACACCAAAUGGGAGAGAAUCCAGGAAAAGGCAUAAAAGAGAAUUUCGAAGUCCAACGCCCCUCGAAGACGGGGCAACGUUUUCUCUCAGCCGUCGAAAGCUCCCACACAGGAAGCACUUUUCCAUGAGGACGUAAAUGAUACCUGAACUCCCCACCAUUCAAAGGAGAACUAGAAUAGCAAUAUAGAACCUUAGCGAUUCCGACGGCAAAACCCUCAAGAUCACCAAGAUUCUGUAUAGGUAUCAAGUUCCUCCAAGAAGGAGGAUUCAGCUGUCCAGGGGAGAUCCUCACUGCCUUUGAAAUCUCGGCCACCAAAGAAGGAAUCUGGUCUCUGAAACCUGACUCGAAGAAACCGUCAUAUAUAUGGAUCUCACCCGGCUCUAAAUCUGAAACCUUAUCAAUGGGACCAGGGAUCCGAAUAGUAACAUCGUCGGAAUGAUGAAACUUCCUUCUCUAGUUUGCAACCUCCUCUACUCCUAAUACCGAUAGAGGACCCACCGGCAAAAGUCUGUCUCCUCCCAUAGGUGGCAGAGCUUCUCCAGCAGUAGCAUUCCUGAGUUCCUCUAUUUCGGCGGUAAGAUCCAGAGAAGAGCUUGACGAAUCCAUGGACUCGCAGACCUCGUUCCAACCCUACGACUUGAAUGAACCCUAGUACAUAUUGAAGAAGAGCCGAGGACGAUAUCAAAUCCGUCUAUCAUCCUAGAAGGUUCGGAGUAAAGGAUGUGGAGAAAAAGAGUGUUACCCGAGAAAAUGAAGGAUUUAGGCCUGAGCAAUAGAGAUCGCGCGAGAUUUCGGUGAGAAAGAAAAGGAAACCCAAAAUUCCGGGCAGCGAAAACAGGGGAACAAAAUCAAAAACCCUAAGAUUGACUUACACGUGUCGGAAAGAUGAGACUGCGCGGGAAAACGAGUCUCAAAGCAUGAUAAGGGAACUUAUCCCUCGGACUUAGGGACCUGAAAAAUUAACAGGACCUUGAACAGCCCGUUACCAGCAUCAUCUCUCCGUUCUCUCCAGACUGUACGCAGCUUAGUAUCAGAAUUCUCGCCUCAUUAUCUCCAGAAGAAAAAAUAAGCUACUACUAGACUCCGGUCAAACACGAAGGAACCGACCCUCACCUGGGUUCAGAAUGAGUUCCGGCUUGAGUGGAACCUAGGAUAGCAGGAUCAAUGGAACGGGGUCCUGCCUAAGGGAAGCCUGCUGAGAAUGAGCAACCCCUGUUGACUGGAGUGCACAGGUUAUCCCCCGACUUCGAUGACGAAAUCGAGAAAUAAGGGGCAAACUGUUGGGGAAAAAUACUACGGUAUCAUUUCCUCCAGCCUCCAGGCAGGAACCAGACCCUCGGGUCCCCGAUAAGGGAACGCUUCAGGUCCCUGCUAGAAGGAACCUUGAGUUCGGUCCCUGGAACGAGCUCCCUUCCAAAAAAUGGAAAACUUCCGAUAAGGAGAAUCUUCCAUAUUUCCGAAUAUGGAAGAGUUUAACCUAAGGAAACCGACUCCUAGACGACUAUAUGAGGACUACUAAAACCCUAAAGCGAGGGAUCGACUUCCCCAAGGCUUAGAAACUAGAACAAGACGGCUAGAACUAGGGUUCUUAUUCAAUACUUUGUAACCUCUCUUGUUAUUGCUUACUCUAUCUAAUAAAAGUCUCUUCAAGCCUAUCUCUUUACUAUCCUUCCUAAAUCCUCACAAAAUACCUAUAAACUUACCCGGUUUACCAACUUGUCCAACCUUCCGUA
This 52808-nucleotide long non-coding RNA is filed under the name Brassica napus (rape). RNAcentral's name for it is "long non-coding RNA (BNAP_LNC024004)". Lineage: Eukaryota; Viridiplantae; Streptophyta; Magnoliopsida; Brassicales; Brassicaceae. The record is from RNAcentral.